RNAcentral lists this long non-coding RNA (85275 nucleotides) under Capsicum annuum. RNAcentral describes it as "long non-coding RNA (CANN_LNC000536)". Lineage: Eukaryota; Viridiplantae; Streptophyta; Magnoliopsida; Solanales; Solanaceae. The record is from RNAcentral.
CUGCUUUCUUUUCAGGAUUUCGUCACUCUCUCUGCUGCCUAUAUAUCUCCAAAUUAUGCAGAUAACUCCCACCACCUUCACUUGGUUGGGCUUCCUCAUGGUUCCUACCAUUUCAUUCCUUUCUUGCUUCAUUGGUUUCUUCUCCCAGCUGACCCAAAGUUGUUUCAUAACCCACUCAUCCCUUCUCCCAUAGCAUCAUGUAUUCGCCAAUUAAUCGUCAUGGCUAUGAUGCAACUGCAAGUCUCUGUUUAACUAGUGCAUUGAGGUGUUGUUGGGCAAGAAAUUACGAAGGUUUAGAGGAAGAGGGAGGGGAAUGGUCAAGAAAGAGGAAACUGAGGAUUGCAAAGGUUCAAGAAGAUCUCACUGCAAAUGCCAUCAGACCUUCUAGAAUGAAGGCUGAGAUGUUGAGAGAGAAGAUGAUAAACAUAUACGAGCAGUGGGUUAAAAACUGUUUUUAGAGGCUAGAUUUAAAUAGAGACAAAAAAGGCUUAACAUGGCCAUAAAUAUGAACGCGUUGGGUAGCAUGUACCUCUAUUAGAUGGAGGUAGCAGGAGAUGCAGGUACCCGGUGGUGGAACAGUCAAGGUCUCAAGGACCUCAAGGUGUGUGCAAACUAGCAUUAUUAUUAUGCUAACAUUAUCUUAUUCUGAAAUUUUGUAACUACUCACUUUUAUUUUUUGUUUACUAUUUUUACUGCCAGUACUUUUCUUUCUUCAAUAAUUUCACUAUAGCAUUUUACUCUUGCAUUUCUUUCAAACAUGUUCUGAAAAACAAUUUUCUAGAGUCGAUGGGUUUACCGGAAACUGCCUAUCUAUCCUACAAAGGCAGGGGUAAGGUAUGCGUUCAUCCACACUCCCCAGAUCCCCUAUACUGAAUAUGUUGUUAAAUGAUUUAUGUGAAGUGCUUCUGUAGUCUUUAAAGACCAACUGUAAUCAGGAUAGAUUGUGCCUGAAAUCAUUUCAACCUUCACCAAACUAAGAUUAUUAAACUAGAGUAAGUUCGUUUAUGUGAACCUAGACUGAGGACCGCACUUAACAUAAAUUCAAGACUGAACCACUACUUAGAAUAUGCUUCAUCAGUUAGAAACAAGACACAAACCUUCCGAGCAGCAAGCUUAUACUUCUUUGCCUCCAAGUUAGCCACCCCAGCAGCGCAACGAAGUUUUGCAACUGUAACAGCAUCUAGAGCAUCUUGGCUCUGCUCCGCUUUACUAACAUAGCUUGUCACAUGUGUGAACUGGCCCAUCUCAAUGCUGACCAGAAUCGCAUUCAAACACAUAUGAAUUAUGUGUUUUGCAGUUGUGCAAUAAUCACGUGUACGAACAUAAUUCUUAAAUGCCUCUCCAAGCUGUCCAUGUGCAUAGUAGUAAUCUCCAAAAUCAUUGUAUCCCAUCCUAAUGCUCUCUUUGAUCAGAUUUGUCUACACAGAAAGGUCAAAUGAGUUCCGCUUAAGCAAUAAAAUCACAGAUAUAUGAUAAGUCAAACAAAAAGCUAACAAAAUAAUGACAUGACAUAGCUAAAAAAGGAAAUCUAAUGGAAAGGUGCAUGGCUUCGCAGAUAAAGGGUAAGCUUACUCAAAAAGAACUGUUACGUGUUAGGUUCAUACAUAGGAAAUACGUCAAUAUCAUAAUAGAAAGCCUGGUCACUAAUAUGUCAACUUCUUGAUUGCUUUUGUAACUAUGGAUCUUAUUGAUGCCUUAAUUAAUGUUAUAAAAUUGCUUCAUCAAAAAACAUGUCAACUUCCGACACAGUUAUGAGUUAAACUAUUAAAGGGGAUAUAAUGGCAAGAAAAAAACGAAUGGAAUGCUAGACUAGUCCAUAAUCUGUGAGAUCGAUGUAGAUGGCAAUAAGAAAUCUCUUCUGUUUCACUAGUAUUUUGGUGAGGAGAAAAUACCAUCUUGUACGGAUGUUCGGGCAAACUCAAGCUCAGUGGAAGAUGAUGGAUUCAUCGAGAAGAGUCACACGCAGACAUGCAUGUCUUUUACCUUUAUUGAAGAAAAUUUUGGACUUACCGAACCAAAAAAACAAUUGGCCUGAUCUAAUAAAAUUUGAAACAAAUGUACUUUGGAGUAAGAAGAGUAAUCUGUAUUAGCAUGAAAAUGGAAAAAAGUAGAAACAUAAUUCUUCAAAAAGUACUUCUAGUUCCCCCAAAAUCCAGAUCACUCAAGAAAUUCUAACAAUAUUGAUCAAUCUCAAGCCAACUUGGCUAGCACCUUUGACAAUCCCCACUUAAUCUUCCCUUUAGGCAAAGGAAACAUAUUGUAAGGGUACGUGUUACAAACCCUGCAUCAUCAAAUAAACCAAACAACAGAGGGGAAGUUUUUCGUGAAAUGCAGGCCAGAACACAAAGAGGAUACAGGUUUAUAAACUUACAAAUACGAGCCUUUAUGGUUUCUUUUCUUUUUUUCCUUUUUUGGUAAUGAAUUGGAAAUGGUUUGAUUAUUUCUUUUUAAGUCAAAAUUUUCAUUGACAUACAGUCGGAACUACACAUAAAUCAGACACCAUUACUUACAAAAAACUUUACUAAGAAUUAAGAUACUCUUGUGUGGCUAAUGUGUCGUGAUGAAAAAAUUUGGCUAGGCACGUUUAACUCUUCAAUCAUAUCAUAACAUGUUUGUUGCAUCAGCUAAACCAAAUGGAUACAUCCCUAAGUAUGCACAUUACAAUUGAGCAAGAAAAAAUAAAAGAACAAAGAAAAAACAAUAUAUUUAUUUUGAUAAGGAACACAUAAUAAAAUUCAACACAAACGAGAUACCUAUCACCUCAUACCAGCAACAAGUACCAAAUAACCUAGUGUUUUUUGUCUCGGUUGGAACUUGAAUGUGAGACUUCAUGGUUCUCACCACUUCAUUGUCUACUAGGCCACACCCUUGGGUGCAAUUCUACACAAACAGUAGCCACCACCAUCCUAGUUCCCUUAUACCCCCUUUCCUGAUAUUGAUAAUAUAAGCUGAAUGUUUUCACCAUCUUAAUAUGAACUGCAACUUAAAAAUUUAUAAUUGUAUCAUUUUGUUUCAAAAUAUCUAGGUUUUAAUAUUAAAAAUUUAAUUAAUCUAAUCAUAUUGAGCCCAGGGUCAUCCGGAAACAGCUUCUCUACCUCACCUCUGAGGUAGUGGUAAGGUCUACGUACAAUAUACCCUCCCAAGACCCCUCUUGGUGGGACUAUACUGGGUACUGUUGUUGUUGAUGAUGGUAUUUAGCUUUCAGAGUUACCCAAAUUGAUUAUUAUACCCGAGAAGUGCCGAAAGAAAAACUCACUAACAAUCAAGUAAACAAUAAAGGAUUUCAAUGAAGGCAACGUAGAUUUAUACCCUAUAAGCAUUGAGUUCGUUCUCAAGCUUCUCCUUCCUCAUCUCAGCCCGUCGAUCGACGGCAUCAGCCCAAGCAGGAUCCGGCCCAUAAUUACCACUUAAACAUCCAUCAAUUUUCUGCACAACCUCACGGAACAACUGCGUAUUCUCCCCUUUCUUAAUCUCAUCAUACGCCAUUCUCAAAGCCUCCAAUUGCAUUGAACUAUUGCCACAUCGAUCAGCAAUAAACAGAAGCCUCGUGAUUUUUGUCCGGCCACUGUAUAAGGCAGCGUACGCCUCAAUAUCCAGCUGUUCGCCGCUGAUAAUCGGACGAUGACGCUGCUUGUUUUCAUCGCCGUUGGCGUAGAUCUCGUCGGUUAUUUGCCCCAAUUCCUCGUCGGGUUCCAUCGGAUUCUACAACGUUCGAUCGGAGCUAGGGUUUUUUGCUCACCGAUUUCCGGGAGCAACACUGAGAAGAAGAACAAAAAAAUUGAAGUGAUCCUGCACAAGUUGUGACGUUCCCGAUUUUGUAUACAGCGAAGUAAUGGGCCUUAUAAGCCCGUAUCGUGGCACAAUUCCAACUCUUUUUGCUACUAUGGCCCAGUAAUAAGCAUAAAUAAAGGUAGUAAAAUCAAGUCGGAACCCCAAAAAAGUAUACAUAGAAAAAAAAUAAAAGAAAAAUUACGUGGUCUUGUAAACUUUCCUACUUUAUUUAUGACAGAUCGUGAGGUAGCUGGUCAGAGUUAUGCAACAAGUUAUUAUAAUAAAUAAAUUAAUUAUGAAGAAAUUUUUAUAUUAUUUUAUGUAUGAAUUUUAGUUAUUUAUGUUUUAAUCAUUCAUGUAUUAGUAAGUAUAUCCAACUUAUUCUAUUUUCUAUUAAUAUUACAUAAAUUUCCUCAUAAUUUAUACAUAUUAUAUUUGAAUGUUUAAACUGUCAAUUAGACAUUGAUAUUACUUUUAUGGAUGAAUAACUAUUGUUUGUCCACCUAUCAAAUGUUGUAGAAAUUAUACAUAAUCUAAUAACAUAAACAACUUUACUCUAAUCUAGUAACCAAGCGAACACACAUGGUUUUAUAUCAAUACCUUUGUGUAGUUUAUUUCUCGUUAAUAAUAGCUCACCAGUGAUAAUAACAUUAUUGAAUUUAUUCUAAUAUUUUUAAUAUUUAUAUUUUUAUUAUGUCUUUUUUAGAUUGUUUUUAUGAGGGUUUAUCGAAAGUUCCAAUAUCACUUACAAGGUAAAGUCAAGGUCUGUCUAUACUUUGUCCUCCCCAUACACUGGUAUGUUGUUGUUAUCAUAUGUAAUGUUUUUUUUAAUAGUUUUUGGGGAGCCAACUUUUUUUCAAAUGAGGAUGAAUUUUUACUACGUAUAAUUAAGGAUACUAGUUUAGGUAUACGCGCUUUGUGCGUGUACCUCACUUUAAUGAGUUCAAAUAUUACACUAAAUUAGAUAUUUGUUUAAAUAAUAAAGAUGAAUAUAAUAAUUAAAUUCAAUAUCUUUUGAGUAUGUAAAGAUGGAGAAUUUAUUUAUUAAAUCUAAACUUUACCAAAAAUAUUUUUAAAAGUCGAUCGACAUUUAUGUAUCAUCUAUAUAUAAAUUGCAACAAAAUAAUACAAUGAUCGAGACAUUAAAAUAAUUAAACCUAACAUUUACCAAAAAUAUUUUUAAAAGUCGAUCGAUAUUUAUCUACCAUCUAUAAAUUGCAACAAAAUAAUACAGUGAUCAAGACAUCAAAAUAAUACAAUUAAAUCUAAUCUUUACACACAAAAAAAUUCUCAAAGUCGUCCGACACUCAUCUACCACCUGUAAACAAUAACAAAAUAAUAUGAUAAUAGAGAUAUCAAAAUAAUACAACUAAACCGAACCUUACAUAAAAAAAAUUCCUUAAAGCCGACCAACAUUUAUCUAUCACUUGUAAACUGCAAUAAAAUAAUACGAUAAAAGUGAUAACAAAAUAAUACAAUUGAACUUAAAUUUUACACAUAAAAAAUUCUAAAAAUCGAUCGAGAUUCAUCUACGAGCUGUAAACUAACACAAAUUAACGAACUAAUAGAGAUAUUACUAUAAUACAAUUAAACCUAACCUUUAUCUAAAAAAAUUUUCAAAGCCGACCUACAUUCAUCUAGCAUCUGUAAAUUAAAAUAAAAUAAUAAGAUAAUAAAGAUAUCAAAACAAUACAAUUAAACCUAACUUUUACACAAGAAAUUCUUCAAAGCCAACCGAUAUUAAUCUACGACCUGUAAAAUAUAAAAAAAAUAAUAUAAUAGUGGUCACAAAGCUUCAAUUUUGAUCCAACUAAUUUUUGUCUGAACGAAAAUUUUGACCCUAAAGAAUGAUUUUGUCGAAUUCUAUUAUGCUGACAAAAACAGUGAAGUUGAGGGAUAUAAAAUCAAAGCAUCCACCAAUAUAGACAUGCAAUCGAAUCAAGUUAGAUAAGCAUCAAUCAUAUUCUUCCAAUAGGCAAACCGGUUAUGUAAAGCCUACAAAAGGACUACUACAACUGAAAAAAAGAAGAAGAAGCAUAAAUCAUUCACUUCGCAGAAAUAAAUAAUCUUAAACAAAAAAAAAAAAUUAAACCUAAAUAAAGCACACACGAAAUUUUUUUUAACAAAAAAAAAGUUAAAAUCCUUACUUUGUUGUUUAACUUCAAUAUAAACGCGAACAUCUGCUCACAAUACAACACCCGAAUUACAGAAGUAACUACAACAACAUUAAUUAAAAAAUGAUAAACUAAUUGAAAGAAGAAAACAUAAUUAACAUAUUAACCUUUGGAUAGUAAAAUCUUUUCUAUAUGAUCAUUCAAGAAAAAAAAAAACAAGAAACAUUAUUCAAAGAGAAUUAGCAAAUUAAUAGGAAAAAAUAACGAAUUAACAUAUUAAACUAAUAUUGUUAUUGUCCAUAUUCCAAAAAUUUGUUUGUGUAUAGACGUACAUCCCAAUAUUUACAGAAGUGUUUCCUUAAUAGAGUUCUAUUUUAAGAGUAAUUUUCUAAUUGAACAUAAGAAAAAUAUUAAUUAAUUCUCCAACAUAUAUUUUAGGAAGUCUAGUAGAAAGGAAAAUAUUAGUUAAUUUUACCACCAUAUGUUUUAUGAGUCCCAUAUAUUCUAGGAAGUCUAAUUAAUAUAAUAAAAAAUAAUUAAAUAAUAAAUUAAAAAUAGUGAAAAGACAGUUUUAUCUAAAGAAGAGUCUUUUAGGGUGUGUUUGGUAUGACGGAAAAUGUUUUCCAUGAAAAAUGUUUUCUUAGAAAAUAUUUUCUAGGAAGAUAAAUUAAUUUCUUACUCAUUUUUUCAUGUUUGGUUAGGGAGUAGAAAAUAGAAUUAUGAUGCAUAGGGGCACAAUGAGAAUAGUAGAUUCCAAGGGUUUAGUGGCGGAGGAGGAGAUUACAACUGGUCUGCCUCUUCUGGUAAUUACAAUCAGCAUCAAUAUAGCUCAAAUAUAUCCCAAAAUAAAAAUGUUGCACAGAGUAGCCCUAUGGCAGAAUAUAGGAGGAACCAGUAAUUAGAGAACAACUACAACCAAGAUUUUUCUGCGAGUAGCCAUGUUAAUAAGUAAAUUCCGAAUCAUUAUGAGGAAACGAUUCCAUAUAAUGCAAACGCACAAGAAAUUAAUUAUGAAGCAUACUUUUGAGAUUUUUACAAAAAUCAUAGUCGAGAGAAGAGAUAAGAAAACUCUAAAAUUGAAGAGAAGAGAGUGAAAUAUGCUUCUGAUUUCGAAGAAGGGAGAGUGCAAUUUGUAUUGUUGGGGUGGGGGUUAAGGGCAUUACUCGCGUGCCUCAAUCCGGAAAAUGACUUCCCUUGGCUGAUUAGGGAAGUCAUUUUUUUUCAAAUGGAGGAAAAUGAGCUGCUUUAGAAAAUGUUUCCCCAAUAUUUUCUUGCCACCAAACAAGGGAAAAUAAGAAAAUGUUUUCCACAAAAUAUUUUCCAUCAUACAAAACACAUCCUUAAUGAAGGGCAAAAAGUUCAAAUCACUUUUGUAAGGGUCUUCACACCUUUAAUAGAUUAUAUAGAUAAGGCCUCUAACUUCCCAGUCAUAUAUAAAUAUUUAUCAAAAAUAUCACUCAAUUAUUAUAAAAAAAAAUAUUAGUAAUUAUCAUUAAAGGUUAAUCUUAUAGUAUAUAAUUAAAGAAUUUACGUGAGUCUUUGUCUUACCCAUUCUUAUUUAGUUGUUCUUAACUAAUACGUUCAUAUAAAUAAAAACAUUCAUAGUUAUUGCUCAUAAGUAAACAUAUAUUUAAUAAAUUUUUUUGUUAUUGUACAAAAGGUCCUCUAAUAGACUAUUAACUAGUGAAAUGGACCGCGCUCCGCACAAUAAUAAUAUCAUUUGUUAAAUAUAUAAAAUUUGUGAUAUCCAAGUUUAAAGAAUGUAUUAAGAUUUCUUUUAAUUUAAUGUGUUAAAUUCAUUACAUUAUUUACAAUUUAUUUUAUUGGAUGAUGUAGACAUAUCAUGAGAAUUCAUGCAUCACAAUUUUUUAUUCAAUCACUCAAUACUAUUUAAUUUUUGAAAAAUUGUAGGGGUAGUUUGGUUGGGAAAUUGUUAUCCCAGGAUAACUAAUACUGGUAUUACUCGGGAUAACUUAUCCCAUCAUGUAUAUGGGAUAAGUUAUUCCAUCGCUAUGAGAAAAAUGGUGGGAUAAGUUAUCCCACCAUAGAUUAAUCCUGUUUCCAACAUAAUUUAAUUCAUGAAAAAUAAACUUCAACCACAAAUAAAAAUAUGAAGAAACAACAGUUUUAUUGAUAAACGAUGGAGUACAAAUCUGUUCCUCCCUUGAUUCUUCUCUCUUGAUUUUUUUCGUAAUUCGAGGGCCGUCAGUAACAUAUUUCUCGAAUGUAUGGAGAUUUGGAUAUGAAUUUCUCCGUAAUUCGAGGGCCGUUAGUGGCGUAUUUCUCGAACAUUGAAAUAUUUGGAUUUGAUCUCCAUGAAAGGAGAAUUUGUCUUUUUGAUGUAUUUGACUAUCAAGAAGAGAGGGUUUUGAUCUCUAUGAAUAUCCCAUGAAUUUAUUGGGACUUUUUAGAUCUUUGAUCUAUUUGUGAAUAUUCCGUGAAUUUGUGGGAUACUGGAGAUGCCUCUUUAAAGGGAUAUUUGCCCCUUUUAUAUAGGCGUAAUUAAGGGUUUUGGUCGAGUAGCCAUCAAGCUAGAUUUAGGGUAAAGUAUCCCCCAAGAACUCUAACCAAAAUUGAACUCUUUUUGUAGAGUCCACAAAAUUUCAAUGUCUACAAAUGUCCCCUACUUCAAGGCUUGUCAGAGUGUAGACUUGAUGAAACUUAAAGACGAGUCUUGAAGUACCACUUCCAUCUUUACGAUCCUGCAGCUAUAGAUUUGCAUAUUUGAUUUAUGAGAGAAGAGACGAAGGGCUGAUUUGAUCCCACUGGGCGUGCCAGAAUUUGUUGGACAGUAAAAUUCUCGAAGUCAAAAAAUAAAUAAUAAUUAGAGGCAAGAAAAUAUUGCAACAAUCAAUUUUAUUGAUUUCAAUGCGAGUGUUACAAUCUCUAUGAAUCCUCUGAUUCGCCUUUUCAAAUAUAAAUUCAAUGGCUUAAAGCUUGAUCUUGAAUUUAAACUUGGUUUGUGAACUUGAGGGACUUGAUCUUGACUUGUGUUUGAAUUCAAGGGCUUUUGAGCUUGUUCUUGAAUAUUACGUUCUUGAUCUUGAAUCUUGAUGAACUUGAUUUGAAUGCUUGAGUUUUUUAGAGAAAUUGCGGCGUUUGAUCCACAAGCUUUCUCUUGCUACUUGUUAGAGAUGGGGGUCUGGUCUUUUUUUCUGAAUUAUGAGAACCCUAUUUAUAGUUGUGGAAAGGGAAGAGUCAUGAUAGAGAUGAACUUUCUUUGACCAAUCAAAUUCAAGUGACGUGACACCUUUUAUGGGCUUUUAUUUCAUGGGUCUGCUGCAUCAUUUUGAUAUGUGGCAUGAUCCUAUUGACUCCUUCACUUGACUUGGCAUGCCACGUUAUUUGACAUGUGGCGCUUAUUUGAGCCUCUAGAAUAUGACAAUAUCUUGGGCUUAUUAAAGUGGGCUCAUCAUUUGUAGCCCAAAUCAAUGGACUAACCCAAUAAAUAUUGGAUUUUAUUUAAAUCCAUACAUAUAUGGACUUAAAUAAUUAAUCCAAUUAUAUUAAUCCACAAUAUUUAUUUGGGACUAAUAUAUUUUGAAUUUAAUAUAAUCUAAAUUUUAUAUGGAUUUUAAUUUAAUAAAAUUUCGUUGCAUACAAAAUGCCCCCUACUUCAAGACUUGUCGAGAUAUUUAAAUAUUCAUAGACUAGUCUUAAAGUAAUAAGUUUUAAUUCAGUUGAAAAUCAAGUGACCAGUGCAUGUAUGUUGGUGGAGCAAGGAUGAUUUAAGCAUGUUACAUGAUAACACGAGGGAAUAAUAAUAGUGAUCAAUCAUUAAUAUGUAAUGUUUUACUUCAUCCACUUACAGAAUAACCCUUUAUGGAUUUGAAUUCCACUUUAACUUGACGAAUAGUAAAUCAGAUUCCAUGUUUGAAUUGAAAUCAACUACCUGCCAGUUUUUUUUUUAUUUCACAUGUCUCCAUCAACUUUAUUUAAUACUAGGGAUCAACCACCACUUCUAGUCUCAUUAGGAUUCCCAUGAGUUUGAGUUUACCAUGGAUUAGAAAGCACAAACCGCCUCACGCAUCUAUAAAUACCCAUAAGCAGUAAUUGUUUUUUCUCAUACCUGGACAAACUUCCAAGAUAUCAGUGGCAGCUUCGUGACUGAUUGGUAUCAAUAGCAAGGUAAUUUCUUUUUUUCCUUUCAUGUUAUCUUCUUUUCUUUAUUCUGCUCCCCUUUUUUUUAUUAUUGUUCUACAAAGAAUAAUAUGCAACAACCGGCUUAGGGUGCGAGAGUUUAAAUUCACCUCUAUACACUCUAAGACCGACCAAUUUGACUUCAAGAUGGUGGCUUUUCAACAAUCGGCUUAGGGUGCAAGAGUUUAACUUCGCCUCCGUACACUCUAAGACAGACCAAUUUGACUCUAAGAUGCUGGCUUUGUAAUAAUCGGCUUAGGGUGCGAGAGUUUAACUUCGCCUCCGUACACUCUAAGACUGACCAAUUUGACUCCAAGAUGAUGACUUUUCAACAAUCGGCUUGACUCCAAGAUGAUGACUUUUCAACAAUCGGCUUAGGGUGCAAGAGUUUAACUUUGCCUCCAUACACUCUAAGACCGACCAAUUUGACUCCAAGAUGAUGACUUUUCAACAAUCGGCUUAGGGUGCGAGAGUUUAACUUUGCCUCCAUACACUCUAAGAUCGACCAAUUUGACUCCAAGAUGAUGACUUUUCAACAAUCGACUUAGGGUACGAGAAUUAACUUCGCCUCCGUACACUCUAAGACCGACCAAUUUGACUUUAAGAUGAUGACUUUGCAACAAUCAUCUUAGCAAAAGUUUAUACAGGUAUUUUGCUCAACUUCAACUUGUUUUUAACUAAACCUACCUUGUUUAUGCAGAUUGUAGCAAUGGUUCACUUUAAGGACUAUACCUCUCCAUCCUCCAACAACAAGUAUCUUCUUAUUGAAGCUGAUGAUGGUAUAAUUUUAUCUAAGCUAUUGACUCACACUCCACUGGUCAGUAGGUGUGUAGAUCCAUGGCCGCCCUUGGUGGAUUCUCUUCAUAUGCCAAACUGGACUUUCGAACAUGACCUUGGUUCUAAUCGAUCCGUUAAAGUAUGGACUCUUCAGACUCCGAAUCAAUGUCAACUAGAUGUUGCGAGCACACUUUCUUGCCUAGGGCAUCGAAUACUACAGGGAGAUAUACAUUGGGGAAGUACCAUAGAGGUAGAUGGUGAAUUUCAUCAUAUUCAAGGAUAUUGGGAAUGGGCUGAGGACAUUUUGGCUAAAAGUCCACAAACUUUGAAGGCAACGAAAGUAUAUGAUGUUGUUUAUGAUUCUUUAUUUACCUAUGAUCGAAGUUUAAACAUAUUGCAAGCCUUUCUUGAAGCAUGGUGUUCAAAAACCAAUACGUUGCUGACAUCGGCUGGAGAGCUCUCUAUAUCCCUUUGGGAUUUACAUGAAAUUGGGGGCCUACCUAUUGGAGGUCUUCCACAUGAAGAAGUAGUGCCUGAAUUUAAAGAGCUCAUCGAUGUCAAUGAGAAGAAUGAGAGAUUCAUGCCUCGUACCUGCGAGUUCUUAUUUUUAUCCUUUCAGUGUCUUCAAGAAGGAAAGUCUGAUAAUCCAAUAGUUACUCUAAGCAAGUGGAUAAAGUUUUGGUGUAAAAAAGUCUUGAGAUAUGAGGCAUCUCCAGUGAGGAAUGAGAAAAAAUCUGCUCGCUUGAAGUCAACACAUAACCCAACUGGGACUAUUCUGAAGGCAGCAAAGUGGUCAAGUGCAGAUGAUGCAAUAUUAUCUAAACUUGGAGUAGGGUAUGACUAUAGGGUUGAUACAUAUUUGGCAGCCUUUUUAUCAUGUUGGUUAUGCACCUUUGUGUUUCCUUCUAAGGAUGGAGAUUUCUUUCGUCCGGGAACUUUUAGAAUUGCAGCUAUGAUAGCCAAUAAGCAAACUUUUAGUCUUUCUAUUCUUGUCUUGUCAAGCAUUUAUAAUGGUUUAAACAGGAUUACCAAAGGUUCGCAACUUGAGCACAUCAAAGUAUCCUUUCUGAUCCAUUAUGGGUAUGUUUGGAUUGCUUGUUAUUUCAAGACACAUUUUUCUCUACCUAAUGGGCUAUCCGUUCCAUUAAUGGUAGCAUAUUCUGGAGAAGGUGCUGCAAGAUAUUUUGAUGAAGAGCAUGCCAGAAAGCGUAUCUACCGAGGAGAUAAUAUUUCUUGGACUUCUGCCAUGCCGAACAAGUCCAAUAUUCAUUAUUUUGUAGAUAAUGAUAAAGAAGCUGAUUCAAAGAUAAAUUACUUCAUGAGCCUUUAUUUUAACUUUCUCCUUUUCAGGUAUGAAGAUUCAUUCAUCCUUGAGCCACAUAGCUCGCAUUGAUUUAGCCGUCAGUUUGGAUUUUAUCAAAGCCUCCCUGGUAGCUUAGAAAAUGAUAUUCGCAGUGCAUCACUUGAUAAAGGGCUCAGAUUUUAUCGUAUUUGUGUAUUGCAUGGAUCUAUGGCAAAGGCUACUUUUCCUAUGGCUACACCUAAUGCGCGAAAGCAUUUCUCUACUUCGUAUAAAUCUUGGUGGGACAAAGUUCAUGGGAACUUUCUUGAAGCUACUUGCAAUCUUUGGUCAAUGUUGUAGGUCUUAUUAUCGACACUUCUCAAAAACAUGGUGAGGAGGUCCCAAUAGUGGCUAAUCCUCCAGUUUUGACAGCUAAGGUAGUUAUUUCGUACAGAGUCAAGGGACCUCUACUUGCAGAAACUCAGAAAGCGAAACCGCUUGCCUUGACUCAACCGGCUUUCAAUAAAUGACCACACCAAGACGAGAAUGAUAGUUGUCAUGGAGAUCGUUGUUGGAAGAAGGUAAAACCAUCCUUGAAGAAGCAAGGCGAUUCUAACUCCCAUGUGGAGAUUCUUGCUAGUUCAUCAAAAACUCCAUCAGCCAUCGAGAAGGUAAUGACUUAACUCUGUACUAUUUCAAAGUAUAUGAUUUGCCUUUAUAUAGCCCUUAUAUGAUUUUUUAUUUGUAUGUGCAGCCAAACGGUGUUUAAAUUUUGGAAGAUCCUCACCAAAGUAAGCUGCAAGAUAGCAGCGAGUCUGUAGCAGGUCCAGACUCAAGAGAGUUACUUUUGUCAUCAAAAGAGGUCAUCUGUAACCAUUACAGUAAAGUUAAAGCAAAUAUAGAGUCAAACUUUUCUCGGCAACCAGCGGUGACCAUGUCUAUUUUUUAUAGCAAAAAGGUUAUUUCAGAGCUUAAAAGGGAAUUUAUCAUGAAGGCAUAGGCUAGUAUCUGUACCAAACUUACAGGCCUUACUCCAAAUCGUGUUUCCUCUAUUCAAGAUGAAGUCGAAGUUAUACUCAAUGACAUGAGUGGAAUGGGGGCAGAUAUUUCCCCUUUACAGAAUUUAUUGAGGUCUUUCUUUAGGCUGACAACUUCUUAUGACCAAGCACAAUCCACCCUUUUUUAUCAAAACACAGCAAUUAGAAAGUCAGAGUCAUAUUUGAAAGCUAAAGAAUAUCUUGAGCUUGUAUUAAGGGAGAGAUAUGAGAAAUAUGAAGAAGUUUCUGCCACCUGUAAAUUUCUUGAGAAGGCGAAGAAGAAGGUGAAGAAGUUGAAAGCUCACCGAGAUGCUUCCAAGCAAGAAACUGCAGAGAUGGAAUCCAAAGUUUCAACUGCUAAAGAAGAGUUUUCCAAGUGUUCUGAUGUCUCCCUUACAACGAUAAAUGCCUUAAAGGUCGUGGAGAGUAAGAAGCAAGUCUUAGAGGCUGCUUUACAAGAUUUAGUUAAUUAUAAUCUAUACUUAGAUUAGCCUUAAGAUAUGCCUUUCUUCAAACCUUCUUGUUGCUUUCUUUUACCCCUUUUUUUGAGUAGUCAGAUCUAUCAGUUAUAAUGAAAACCUUUUUUCUUUAUAUUGCACAUUUAUUUUAAUAUUUCUUUGGAAUUUCAACUUCAAGAAUUUCUUGCUUAGCAGUAUUGAACUCUGGCUUUUCUAUCCAAAACUUGUUACUUAUUAGCUUUAUGCCUUUGUCUAACAACCGAGUUGGAAUUGAAAAUUCAAUUUGAAAGCCUUAAGAAUUAAAGCUUUUGACUUGCAAACUUGAUAAUUGCACGUGUGGUAGAUCUAUGUCUCAACUGUAAACUUUGGGUAUUCCAAAUCCUAUCGAAAGAGCUUCAUUUUCUUUUGAUGGGUUGCCCCUAUUGAGCCGCAAGUAUUUGACAUAAUUCCAACACUUAAUUGACAUGUAUGCAGACUUGAAUUUCAUACGAUGGAUCAAGCGAGGACAUGUAUUUUUUUUUACACUCAUGUAACUGAACUCAGAAUGAAAUUCCAAGCGCCUACGUACCUCAGUAAAGAAGAUCAAGUCACAAUAUAGUUUUGGGUGAGUGUUUUUUUCUUGUGUCCUAACUUUUGCCUAGGCCACCUCUUUCGAGGUUUUUAACUUAGCGGACUUUCAUUUUAUUUUGAGCCGUACACAGUUUAUACUCUUGUGGGCCAGGAGUAUACAUGCAGUUUAUACUCGUGCCUUAAGGAGUGUACGUGCAAUUUAUACUCAUGCCUUAAGGAGUGUACUUGCAGUUUGUACUCAUGCCUUAAGGAGUGUACAUGCAGUUUGUACUCGUACCUUAAAAAGUAUACAUGCAGUUUAUACUCGUGCCUUAAGGAGUGUACAUGCAGUUUAUACUCGUGCCUUAAGGAGUGUACAUGCAGUUUAUACUCGUGCCUUAAGGAGUGUACAUGCAGUUUAUACUCGUGCCUUAAGGAGUGUACAUGCAGUUUAUACUCGUGCCUUAAGGAGUGUACAUGCAGUUUAUACUCGUGCCUUAAGGAGUGUACAUGCAGUUUAUACUCGUGCCUUAAGGAGUGUACAUGCAGUUUAUACUCGAGCCUUAAGGAGUGUACAUACAGUUUAUACUCGUGCCUUAAGGAGUGUUAUCUUCCUUUAAGGAUAGUACUUCUUCAAGAACUUGGCGUUGAUGGGGCUAAUCCUCACGUCAUCUGCAUCGACAAGCUUGUAAGCACCAUUUGAAUAUACCUCUUGUACGACAUAUGGUCCAUCUCACUUUGGGGUGAAUUUACCCCCAGACUUAUGAGAAGUGAUAAUGGCCCUUAUUACUGCGAGGACUUGAUCUCCAACUUGGAAGCACCUUAAGCGAACCCUUUUAUUGAAAGAACGAGAUAGCCCGGCUUGAUAACAUUCAAGAUUUUAUUGAGCCUCCAGCCUCUUCUCGUCAAGAGCUUUUAACUUUGCAAGAUGCAACUUAGCAUUUUCUUCAUCAGUGAGCCCUUCUAGAAUGGCCAGUCUCAAAGAAGUUAUUUGACGCUCAAGUGGCAGAACUACUUCAACUCCAAAAGCAAGUGAGUAUAGGGUUGCUUGUGUCGGUGUACGAUAAGUUAUCCUAUACGCCCACAAAGAUUCUUCCAUCCGUUCACGCCAGUCUCAUUUGGAUUUGGAGACGACUUUCUUCAAUAAGUUGCAUAAAGUUUUAUUGAGUGCUUCAGCUAGACCAUUGGCGGUAGCAUGGUACAUAGAAGAUUUGCGUUGCUUAAAACCAAAGAGGUCACAGAUUGGCUUUCCUUUGUCAGUUAUUAUGUACUGAGGUAUUCCAAAGCUGUAGGCGAUAUUCACUCGGAUGAAGUUCGCAACAUUUUCUUUCUUUAAUUCCUUAAGAGCAACAGCUUCGACCCAUUUUGAGAAGUAAUCUGUCGCGGCCAAGAUGUAUAAGUGUCCACUAAAACACUUUGGUAAUGGACCAACAACAUCCAUUCCCCAAGCAUUGAAUGACCAAGACGCUAUAGUUGGAUGUAGCACCUCUGGAGGUUAAUAUAUGAAAUUUGCAUGGAAUUGGUAAGCUCUGCAUCUUCUAGCAUAGUGCAAGCAAUUUUUCACCAUUGUUGGCCAAUAAUAUCCCAUCCUUUUAAUGUUAAAAUGGAGCUUCGGUCCAGACUGAUGUGAUCCACAAAAUCCCGAGUGUGCUUCUUGUAAAGCUUGAAUUAUUUCUUCCUCUCCCAAACACCGUAAGAGUACUCCUUCAAAUGAUCUUCUGUACAGUGUGUCUUUGUAGUAAAGGAAGCGAGGUGCACGACGACGAAUGUCAGUCUUUCUCCUUGGAUCUUCUGGAAGUUUCCUAUAACAUAAAUAAUCAAUGAUAGUUUGUUGCCAAUUUUUUUUUACAGCUUCAGACAAGGCAACGAGGUAUUCAACCUUGUUUUCUAUAUCAUCAUCUGACGGUGGUAUUACCCAUUCUUGGCGGAUAGUAACUCGCGUCUGAUUUGGAAGAGUUAAGGUUGAGGCUAAAAUAGCUAAGGUAUUAGCUUGCUUAUUUUCUUUCCUUGGAAUAUGUUGGAGGGUUACUCCUCCAAGCCACCUCAUCAACUUUUAUGCAUAAUCAUAAUAUGGUCGUAGCUCAGGCUUUCUGAUUUCAUAGAUUCCCAAAAGCUACUUGAUCACCAAUUGGGAGUCACCAAAGACUUGUAAUUGCAGUUGUUUCAUGUCAACUGCCAUCUCAAGUCCAAGUAUUAAAGCUUGAUAUUCUCAACAUUAUUAGAGCAAUGAUUUGUUAGGUUAAAAGAGUAUGGGAUGACCUCUUCUUGUGGAGUAACGAACACCACACCGGCACCUUCUCUAUCUCGGUGUGCGGCACCAUCAAAGUACAUCUUCCAUGGGGAUCUAACUUCAACAACCAUUGCAUCUUCAUCAGGGAGUUCAUCGCUCAUCUCCCGGUCAUCAGGUAUUGGGUGAUCUGCCAAGAAGUCAGCCAAUGCUUGUCUUUUUAUAGCCUUUUGAGGAACGUACACAAUCUCAAACUGUUGAAAUUGAAGGUACCACCUUGCAAGUCGGUCACUUAGGACUGGUUUUGACAUCACAAACUUGAUGGGAUUUGCCCUAGACACGAGGCGAACAACAUGAGCUUGAAAGUAGUGUUUCAUCUUUUAGAUAGAGAAAGACAAUGCCAAACAUAAAUUUUCAAUUGGAGAAUACUUCAGCUCAUUUGAUGUCAUCAUUCUGCUCAGAUAGUAAAGUGAGUUUUCUUUGCCUUCACUAUUUUCUUGAGCCAGUAGUGCUCCAACUGAUCUCUCUUGUGUCGUGAUGUAAAGUAUCAAUGGCUUCCCAGGUAUGGGUGCCGCAAGAACUGGUGGCUUCAUUAAGUAUGAUUUAAUACUCUCAAAGACAUUACUACAAGCUUGGUCCCACUCGAAGGGACUGUCCUGCUUUAUGAGACGACUAAAUGGUUGACAUUUUUCGGCCAGGUUUGAGAUGAACCUCCUUAAGUAUGCAAGCCUUCCUUGAAGGCUUUUUAGGUCAUAAAUAUUUUGAGGUUCGGGCAUAUUUAAAAUUGCAUCGACCUUGGCUUGAUCAAUUUCAAUUCCUUGGUGUCGCACAAUGAAGCCAAGAAACUUUCCUGAAGUAACUCCAAAGGCACACUUUAAUGGAUUCAUCCUAAGUUGAUAUAUUCAAAGUAACUCGAAUACCAUUCUUAGGUUUUUUAAGUGGUCGUCUCUCUUUCUUGACUUCACCACUAGAUCAUCUAUAUAGCAUUCAACAUUUUUAUGGAGCAGGCCUUCAAAGAUAUUUUGCAUAGCCCUUUGAUAAGUGGCAGCGUUCUUUAAACCAAAAGGCAUCGCCUUGUUGCAAUAAAUACCUUUGAGCGUACGAAAUGUAGUGAGUUCUUUAUCUUUUGGAGCCAUACGGAUUUGAUUAUAUACGGAUGAACCAUCCAUGAAGGAAAUUUCCUCAUAACCAGUGGUGACAUCAAUCAUUAACUCCGGUAUGGGGUUGGAAAAUCAUCCUUAGGGGAUGCAUUGUUGAGAUCUCAAAAGUCAACACAAACUCGAAUUUGGCCAUUUUUCUUUCGUACUGGAACAAUACUUGAAAUCCACUUGGGAUAUUUGACUUCAUGAAUAAAGCCAGUUUCAAUGAGUUCGUUAACUUCAUUUUCGAUCAGUGGAACCAACCCUGGCCUAAAGCGUCUUUGGGCUUGCUUAACAGGAUGGGUACCAUUCUUGACUGCCAACUAAUGGACCUCUACUUUUGGAUCUAAGCCAGGUAUUUCCUUAUAUCUCCAGGCAAAAACAUCCAUAUAUUCUUUGAGUAUGUCCAUAUAAGCAAUUUUCUCCUCCACUUCUAGAAACGCACUCAUGUAAGUUGGUCUUAGUUCUUCAUCGGUUCCAAGAUUAACUUCUUUAAAGGGAUCUAUUGUGGACUUUACACCUUCUUCAAGUUGUGAUGGAGCAUCUCCAACAUCUUCCUCCUCUUGAGGAUCAUCGUCAUUGACGGAUAUAUGAUAACACCAAAAGACAUCUUUUAUCCCUUCAUCAACCUUUAUUUGAGAUGAGACAUCUUUCACGUUUUGGGUCGUAACAUGAUAUGAGGAGCCAACACUCUAUUCAUAUUCUUCGCAUUGCUUGGUAUAAACCACAGUAUGCAUCUUUGCUUAUAGCACCUCGUUGCAUGAAACUACCAGUUCCGUCUGUCACUUCAUUCUAUAAGGAAUCAAACUUUGGAAAUCCUUCCGUAUUCUAAGUGAAGAGUGCAUUAUCGUGCUUUGAUGACUUCUCUUACGUUUGUUUCUUUUACUUUUAUUUAGAGGUCCUAACCUUUCAAACACAGAAGUUCUUGUAGUUGAUUCUCUAAGUCGGUCAAAAACAGAAACCCUCUUGUUGGCUGCAGUGGCUUCUUUUUCUAUAGUGAUGUAAUUGCUAACCGCCCUUCUUAUGGAGAUGCGAAUUGGAGGUGGCUGUGUAUAUCCUAGGCCUUCACGUGCCUGCCUGGUCGUACCUUCCAACCGAUGGCUCAUUUGGAUUGUAUCCAACCUUUACAAAUAGCUUGUAUGCAUUUGGAUCGAAGCAAUCCUUCGUAGUUUCGUAGGGAGUGUCAUGUCCUGUGGCAGAUUUUGAGCCACAGACUCUUCAAGAAGUCUUGAGGAUGGAUUUAUUGCAUCAAUCUUCCUGAUAGGUAAAGUUUCAAUCGUCCUACUGGGCGUGCCAGAAUUUGUUGGACAGUAAAAUUUUCGAGAUAAAAAAAUAAAUAAUCGAGGCAAGAAAAUAUACUGCAACAAUCAGUUUAUUGAUUUCAAUAUGUGAGUGUUACAAUCUCUAUGAAUCCUCUGAUUCGCCUUUUCAAAUAUAAAUUCAAGAGCUUAAAGCUUGAUCUUAAAUUUGAACUUGAUUUGAGGGACUUGAUCUUGACUUGUGUUUAAAUUCAAGGGCUUUUGAGCUUGUUCUUGAAUAUUACGAUCUUGAUCUUGAAUCUUGAUGAACUUGAUUUGAAUGCUUGAGCUUUUUAGAGAAAUUGCGGCGUCUGAUCCGCGAGUUUUCUCUUGCUACUUGUUAGAGUUCUGGGGUUUGGUUCUUUUUUUCUGAAUUAUGAUAACCCUAUUUAUAGUUGUGAAAAAGAAAGAGUCAUGAUAGAGAUGGACUUUCUUUGACCAAUCAAAUUCAAGUGACGUGGCGCCUUUUAUGGGCUUUUAUUUCACGGGCUUGCUGCAUCAUUUUAACAUAUGACAUGAUCCUAUUGGCUCCUUCACUUGACUUGACAUGCUGCAUCAUUUGACACAUGACGCUUGUUUGGGCCUCUAGAAUAUGACAAUAUCUUGGGCUUAUUAAAACGGGCUCAUCAUUUGUAGCCCAAAUCAAUGGACUAACCCAAUAAAUAUUGGAUUUUAUUUAAAUCCAUACAUAUAUGGACUUAAAUAAUUAAUCCAAUUAUAUUAAUCUCUCCAACCAAACAAGGGAUUUCAGUGAUCUUUUAUUUUAUUCUGAGAUAUAACUUAUCCCUUGAAUUACUUAUACCUCACACCAAACGACCCCUAGAUUAUAGUAAGUCUCAAAAUACACAAAUAUUAAUUGAAGAGAUAAUUUUAUAAUAUGAGAAAGACUUCAUAAUAAGAACAAAUAUGCAUAAGCCUUUUAUAAUAAGAGAAAGAUUUCAUAAUAAGAACAAACAGGCAUAAGCCUAUGCAAACAACAUAAAGGUUAAAGAGUCUUAAUUUUUAUGUUUCAGUUUGUAAAAUAUAAUUUUCUUGUAAGUUUGUGGAGAAAAAAAAUAUUUUUCCUUAAAUUAUAUCUCGAAACUCAAUCAUUUUAUAAGAGAAACUACUAAUUUUUUUUUUUUUGAAUAUUGUUCCUCCAUUAUGGUAUAUUUAACACAAGAUUAUACAUAUUAGAUACAUAAACUUCUUUUAAAAGUCUUUUAUUUUUUCUUUUGAAAUUAUGUGCAAGUUCAAAUUUGAAAAACAACAAAAACAUGUCAGCAAUUAUACAACACAAAUAAUAACUUAUCUAUUUUUUAACCAAAUAUAAAAUAAAAUUACAAGACUGUAAUAAUAAUGUUGAACAACAUCGAUAUUAAUAUCCCAAUAAACAACUCGUUACAAAAUUAUAUCAUUAUUUCUAAAUUGUUUUAGUUAUCAAAGGACCAAAAACUAAUAGUGGUUAAAUAAUAAAUAAUAAAUGUCAUUUAACUAUUAAGGAGUUAUAAUUUUUUUUUUUUUUUUGGAUAAGAGGGAUUAUUUCAUAAAUACUAGAUAGAGCAAAACAUAGGUGUGUUCAAAGUGUCAGCAGCACUUUUGAUUACAGAGAGGUUACCAAACUUCACUAGGUUAAAACAACUUAAACUAGAAAGAGUCUAAUAGAUAACACAUUCCAACGAUCAGCUUCCAGGAGAGAGAUAGCUUGGGUUGGUGGUGAUAACAAAAAGUCCACUGUGCCUGGAUUUUUUGGGCUCGUAAUCUGCACAGCAGGUCAGCUGCUGAAUUUGCUUGUCUGAAAUUAUGGCGGAGCACAGGAUUCCCCAGCCUCUUCAACAACAAACUGCAAGAGCAUACAACAGGAUUGUAUAAGGGGGGGUGCUGUUUCUAAAGCUAUAAAGAUGUCUGUGGAGUCAAAUUCUACUUCCAAUGUGUUAAAAUUAUGAUCCGAAGCCAGUUGUAGUCCUGUAUGCAAAGCAAGCAACUCAGCGUGAAGGGCGUUCCUCGCUGAACAGAUGCCAGCGAAGCCCAGCAUCCAUUUACCUUCGCUCUCCUUGAAAACUCCACUUAUACCUCCUUUAGCUGUGUCAGUGCAAUAAGUAGCACCCGUGUUGAGUUUUAUAGAGCCCGGUUGAGGAGGAUACCACUUGAUAUAAAUUGAAUGGGAGGGGUUGGUAGUUGUUCCCUAGUAGUGCAAGUGAGAUAUUCAAUAGUUUGGUUAUGAACAAUAGUAAGGGAAGGUCGAGGGUGGUUUUGUUUAUACAGAAAAAUAUUUUGUGUGAGCCAUAAGUGCCAAAGGGCGAAGGGAAAAUACUGUUGCCACGAAUAGCAAAUGGUAGGAGGCGAGGGAGAAGGAAAGGAAACGUUUCUAAGAGUAAGUAACCAGUGAUUGGCUGUGAGAACAAAUAGGUAGAUAUUUAAUCCCAGAUUCAACCAAAAUUCUUUCGCCUCCACACAGUGAAAGAAUAGAUGGGUAGUCGAUUCUUCUGUGGUUUUACAAAGGGGACAUAAAGGGUUUUCAGCUAUUUGUAACUGGUAGAGGUAUUGCAUGGUGGGUAGGCAAUUGUGCGAGCAAAGCCAAAGAAAAAACUUGAUUUUAUUGAGAGUAUUGAGGUUCCAAAUCCAGAAAAACUGGUAUGGUGUAGUAGUAGGUGGUUUAAUGACGGAAAUAACACUUUUAACAGAAAAUAAGCCAUUCGUAUUGGAGGCCCAGUAGGGGACAUCAAAUAUAUGAGGAGGGGAUUGGAUAGCAAACAAAGUAGCAGUAACAAGCAGCGGGGAGGAAGAGUGAAAGAGAGUUUAGUCCAAUCCCAUUGAUUAGAGGCCCAUAGUUGGGAGAGUUUGAGAGUAGUUUCGUAUUGGGUAAGAGGGCCUUGGAUAAGGGAACAAAGGGAUAAAGAUUUGGGUAUCCAGCGGUCGUACCAAACACUAAUGGUAGUGCCAGAACCCGGUAUCCAAGCAAUGCGAGGAGCACAAUUGGUACCUUCGGCAAGAAUAUUUUUCCAAAUAAAAGAGUAGGCAGAAUAAGUUCUGCGUUUGUUAUAUUUUUUGAUGAGAGUAGUGUCCCAGAGAGUUUGAGUAUUAGAGAAAGCUCGCCAAGCAAGGCUGGUCAGUAAGGAAGAACUUUUUGUACGAGCAUCCAGUACACCUAAACCUCCUUCUUGCUUCGAGGUCGGUACUUUGUCCCAAGAUAAAAGGUGCAACUUUUUCUUUUUUGAGGUAGAGCCCCAGAUAAAGUCCCGUUGAAUUUUAUCAAUAGCCUUGCAAAUCGUGGUUGGGAGGUUGAAAUACUGCAUUAUAUACGCUGGAAUGGCGUUAAGAGUUGAUUUCGCUAGGACGAGGCGACCCGAAUGGGUGAGGAAUUUAGAUUUCCAAUGGCUUAGUUUUUUCCUCAUGUUGUCGAGGAUAAAUUGAAAAUCUUUUUGUUUGGGUUUUUACUAGAGGAUGGGUAAUCCAAGGUACUUCCCGAAGUGGGUUGACUCGUGGAUGUUAAGGUGGUGAUGAAUGAGGGAUUUAGCAGAGUUAGAGCAAUGCUUGGAGUAGAAGGCCUUGGAUUUUGUCGCAUUAAUAUGUUGGCCUGAAAGAUUGUAGAAGAAGGUCAAACAACUAGUCAGGGUAUGUAUGGAUUUUGGAGUGGCUUUGGAAAUAAGAGUAGGAUCGUCCGUGAAGAAGAGGUGGGAGAACAAGGGACCAUUACGAGAGAUUGAGAGAGCAUCCCAAUUGAGAAUAUCCACUAGACGGUAGAUGUAGGAGGAGAGUAAUUCCAUGCAAAGGAUAAAAAUGUAGAGGGACAUGGGAUCCCCUUGACGGAUUCCUAUAGACGGUGAAAAGAAGUUAGUUUUAGGGCCAUUUAUGAGGACAAAGAUACUACUAGUGGUAAUGCAACUCAUUAUGAGGGUCCGAAUCUUAGGGGGAAGUUAAAGAAAAUAAGGGUACGAUAGAUAAAUGACCAUUCAAGACGGUUGAAAGCUUUUUCUAAAUCAAGCUUAAGCAUAAGACUACCUGUUUUGGAGGUAGAUUUAUUUAUAUAGUUAAAAAACUCUUGAACCAAGAUAGCAUUGUCACAAGCUCUACGACCCUUCAGAAAGCUUGUUUGAUGGGGUCCAAUUAAUCGAGUAAGAAAGGGUUUUAAGCGGUUUGCAAUAAUUUUUGUAAUCACUUUGUAAAUAGUAUUGCACAAACCGAUGGGGCAAAAUUUUUUGAAUAAAUUGGCGUUAUUAAACUUUGGUAUGAGACAAAGAUAAGUAGAAUUCAAGGGUGCAGGAAUGGUCAGAGUGUUGAAAACCUGAUGGCAAAAAUUAAUGACACUAGUCCCAACGAAAGACCAGUAGUAUUGAUAGAAAUAAAAGAGAAGACGACAUUAUUGAUUUCUUGAUUAGUCAACGGCCAAUCAGGGGAGGUCAGGUCAAUGUGAUGAGCCCUUAACGGGGAGGGAUUCAUGUCAGUUCGAGGGGACGAAGUAUGUUCAGUAGUAAAACAAGUUUGAUAGUACUGAAAAGCAUGAUUAACAAUGCAAUUAUGGUUAGUGAUCCAAUUACCGUUAUCAUCCUUGAAGAAAGAGAUCCGGUUAGUUCUUCAUCUAUUAAUAACGGAGAGAUUGUAAAAACUAGUGUUAGCGUCACCAUGAUUUAACCAGUCUAUUCUAGAGUGAAGUUUCCAAAAAUCAUCCUCGACUCUAAGGAUGGAGUUAUAAUCAUCAGUAAGGGUUUUCUCCAGGUCACGAAGGAAGCUGCUAGCGGGGUAAGCUUCCGAAUGUUGAAUACCACUAAGGUGGGUAAGAAUCCUAUUUUUCGUUUAAAGAUAUCCCCGAAGGUCUUUUUAUUCCACUCGGUGGCUUGAAUAGUAAACCUAUUAGUAACUUCGAGUAGAGGGGAAUUGUUAGACCAGCAAUUAGGAACCACCAUUUUAAAGGAGGGAUGACGAAUCCAAAACUUUUCCAGCCGGAAAGGUCUUUUACUUCUAGGAUUGAGGGCCCUAUUAACACUGAUAAGUAACGGGGAGUGGUCCGAGUGGGUUUUUGGGAGAUAGAUAAUUAUAGAGCUCGGGAAGAGUUGAAGCCACCUAUCUGUAGCAAAAACUCUAUCCAGACGUUCUAUAAUCAAAUUUGUCCCGUUAGAAUACUUACGGUGGUUUGACCAAGUAUAUCGGCCUCCCUUGAAACCUAGGUCAACUAGGUUACAAUUAUUAAUACAGGACCAAAAUUUGGAGCUUCUAUUAUGAUUUAUACUGCGCCCGCCCACUUAUCCUGUUGCGUGAGAAUUUCGUUAAAGUCGCCUACUAACAUCCAAACACCAUCAAAUAGUUUGAGAAUAAUUCUUUAAGUUUUCCCAAAGUUUCAAGCGAUCCGAAUAACAAGUUCUAGCAUAAACAACGGAGAAAAACAAAGGAGAAGAGUUGGGCAAUACCUGGAUCAUGGCGUGAAUCUCUUGGUCAAUGCGUUGUUUACGGGUUACAUUAAGAAGGUGAGAGUACCACAUAACAACCAAACCCCCAGAAUUUCCUACAGCAGAGACUUCGAACAUGUCAUCAAAAGCAAAUUCGUCCCUAAGAAGUGCAUGGUUUGUCAUCUUAGUCUCAAGUAAAGAAACCAAACAAGGAUUAUGAUUCCUAAUAAGCUCUUUCUUAUUCAACUUAAAGGCUUCAUUAUUCACCCCGGAGUGUUUCAAACCACAAAACUAGUGUCCUGAUCCAUAGAAGAGAAAGGGGUAAUUGGGAAGGGGUCGUCACUGCAACCCGCUUCCAAUAGCGGGUUCGGUUUCAUUGUUGGGGCCAUGAUGACCACAAGCUUGGCUAGAUCUUGGUUCACUGUUGUACGAACCACAAAAGAGCACUUCACUAGAUUGGUCGGACAGUUGUGAAUGUAUUUUUUGUCUUCCUUUUUUGGGAAAACCAUAAGGGCCACAUUUUUCAAGGUUAAGAUUUUUGUGAAUGUGAUUCGGAGGAGAUUUAUUUCCACUAUGGGUAUGGUAGUACGAGGAGGAGGAAUGAGAUAAGAGGUCAAAGUUGGGGUUGUAUGGGGGAGUUGUGGGUCCGGGACAAAGAGUAUUUAGGAUGGGCGAGUUGGAAGAGGCUUCCAAGAGAAGAAAAUUGGGUGGUUGGAGAUCCUUUCCGGUGGAGUGAAGAAAAGAGUUUGAGCAAUGUUGUGCAUAUUGGGAAAUGGGCUAAGGAAGUGAGAGAGGUUCCAAAGGCCUUGCGUCAUUUGUAGAAAACCCAACAUUGUGUUCGGAGAGGCUGGGUCUAGAUUGUGGGUGGUCCACAUUUGAUUCAUGAAGUGUUCUAGAGCUAGACGCAUGCCCUCCGUGACCAACUGAGCUAGUUGUCUUUCGUUUUGGAGGACAAUGAGAGAACGAGUUCCAUUUACAUUGAGUGAGAAAAUGGAUGCAUGUCCCCUCGGACCCAUCUCUAGCCACGAGAGGGGUUGGAUGGGUAGAGGGAUAGAGAGAGUCGCAUAAACUGGGGGUGGGUUGGGAUCGUUGAGCAGUUGAGGGCGGUUCGAGAGGAUGGGUAGAAGAGUGAGCUCGAUGUGUAGGUGAGGUGGGAGAUGUAGACCUUCCAUGAUCACUCGUACGAGAGGAUGGAGAAUACACUACAGAGAAGGAAGGGGGUUGUGAUAAUGUUAAAUCUUUUAGAUAGGAUUGUGAAAACUGAUACAGGCUCUAAACUUGCAGCUAAAUUGUCGGGUAUAAAUACCCUCAGGACACGAUAACAUAAAAGUAAAACAUAAACAUUCUUGAAUAAUCAUGAUCAUGGACAUUCAUUCACCAUUACAAUCAUUAAAGCAUCUCUUUAAGCACUUGGAAAUCAUAAACAUGUGAUAGUAUAAGGAUACAUGUUAUUGGCUCAUACUCCAUUCAACAAGGUCUUACAACAAAUAUUUAACAUUCAUUGAAGAGCAUAUAAUUGGUGGAUUUCAUGCUAACAUGUCACAAUUCAUUUAUUAAGUCUUUUCGACAAACACUUGGCAUGCAUGAGCUUGCACACAAUUGGGGAUUUCUAGUCAACAUGCUAUAAUGGCUCUAAUUCCUCCACAUAAGCAUUUUAUCAAACAUAUGGGGAGCAUGCUUUGGUUAUUCAACAAUUUCUACACUUAAUUGACAUAAACACAUCACUUAACAUGCAACUUGAAAAGGGUUUAUCAUGAACAUCAUACGAUUCAUCAUAUACUAGAAUCAACUCUUGAGAUUUUAUAAACAAAAUAUGAAUUUAACUCAAUAAUAACAUGAACUGCAAUUUCAAUUCACAUGACUCAUGAAAACUCAUAAAUAUAAGAUCUUUGAAUUUAGAAAAAAGAGUCUUGAACUUCUUGGGUGGAAGGAACCCAAGAAUCAACAUCUAACAUACCUUGCUAUGUAAUUCUUGAAAGAUUCACUGUGAAACCUUGAUGAUUUGGGUCUUGGAUUAGAAAUCCAAGGUCUUGUUCUUGAAGAAAAUUGAGAGAAACCAAUAAUAUUUGGGUGUAAAUAUGCUGAAUCUUAUGUUAAAGAGUAUAUAUAGGGGUUGGACAAAGACCCUUUUUGCCUUUGGAAUUAAAAUUCAUAACUGAAAAAAUCCCAAUUUUACGUGCUGGCGCGACGCGCCAUAAUCGCACCAGCUUACUGGAAAUUGGACAAUUGGGAAACUGAGCCUUGGCGCGACGCGGUGAAAAUCGCGUUGCCACCUUGGUUGCGAACUAGAAAGACACCACGACACGAUGGAAUCAUGGAGGCUCACUAGAAUUUGACAAUUGCCAUUUUGGCUGGCUCCGCGAUGCGCUAAAGUGUCAGGUGGCACACUGUCUCACUAAAAUGGCUCUAACUCUUCGCCCGAGUGUCGGAUUUAGACGAAUUUGGUAUCGACGAAAAACUUGUUCAAUUCUCUACAUGGAAAAAAGACAAUAUUAGAGAAAUUCGACAUGGUUUAAAAUAUUUUUCACUUUGAAAGUCUCUUCUCGACCUUUUAAGACCGAAAUUACACUUCACUUGGCACGCUAUAAAGCUCAGACUACGAGAGAACUUUGUGGGGUAUUACAAGUUAUUACCUUGUCUGCAACAUUUUUACCUUUUGUAGCCUUCUUUUUUCUCCUUGGGAAUUGAACUGUGUGCCACUCAACUACACUUGAAUCUUGUGAAGGUAAAUCUUGAAUAACUUUUUCUGCAUGGGGGGAUAGGAGUACCCUUCUUACUUUGUUCAUUAUGAUAAUGACAAGUUCUUUGGAUAUGGCCUAAUCUUCCACAGUUUUUACAGAGAAAAUCAUCGGCCUCAUAUACAAUGUUUUGCAGGUGAGUUUCGAUCUGAAUUUAGGAAGGAAUCGAGUCUGCAAAUGACAUUUGUAUGCAUAGCCUCGCAUAUCUUCCUCGUAAAGUUGCGCUAGUGCAUGCAUCAAUUUUCAGCAGCUUACCAAUGGAGUUACCAACUUUUUAAAGUAGUAUAGUGUUAUAGGGAAGACAAAUCCAAAUAGCCGAUGCCGAAAGAACUGCUCUUUCUGGGAUAAAAUUUGGAACCCACUUCUAAAUAGAGAGGUAGUGACCAUAUAUGAACCAGGGUCCAUUGUUAAGGACAGUGUUCAUAUCUUCUAACUUGGAGAAUUUGAGUAUGUAAUAAUCCGCCCCUAAAUCGAUCAAGGGAGUUUGUUCCAUGAUUUUUCAUUUUUGUUAUAAUUUGGUUCGAAGGGAUUGAUAGGGAAUGUGAAUGCCUAUCGACUUGAUAAUAAGAGAGUACUUCCACGGUGCAUAGAUUCUGAAGUUUAUCUUCUUGGAAAAGAGUAAUCGUUGUAAUGCCAUCAAUAAUAGGGAAGAGGCUGGGAACUGGGCUAGAUUCCAUUGGAUUGGGUUGGGAUAAAAUGUUAUCUGCCAUAUCCAUGUCCAGGAUGACUUCAUUAGAUAGUAAUUUAACUUUGUAGGAAGGAUCAUCUGGUGGUUUGGGAGGUUGUUCUAAGGAAGAAUUUAUUGUUUGAUGUUCUGGGUUCAUCUAAAAAAUUGAUGGUUUUAGGAGUUAUAAAAAUUAUUAAAGGAUGAUUAUGUAGAGAUUAAUGAGGUACUUUUUAGAUUUUUUAAUUGUGGCAUGUAUCUUUUAAAAAAAAUCAUCCAAAAUUUGAAAAAGAACAUCACUUCAAAAAAAAAAGAGAGAGAGAGAAUCCAAAAAAAAGUAGUAGAACUCUCAGGAGCCAUUUGGUAGAGUGUAUAAGAAUAAUGUUGAAUAAGGUGUGUUAGUAAUGCCUGUAUUAUUAAUGCAAGCAUUAGUAAUACUGGUAUUAGUUAUACAAUCAUUAUUUCUUACACAAUAUUUAAUUUGAUGUAUUAAAAAUAAUAUAUAUUUAUAUAAUUUUUAUAAAAAGUAUUUGUUUACCAAAAUACCCCUUUUUAGACCCUCUCUUUCAAGUGUAGAAGUAGCAACACCUACUAUUGUAAAAAUGAAAAACCUAAAGAAUGCUCGCAGUGCUUUUGGGAUGAUGAUCGGGGGAGUUAUCCAUUAACUAUAAAGCACAAGAUCUUUUAACUGAUGUUGCAUCAUGCCAUCUUUCUUGAUUAAUGGAUAACUCGUUGCUGCUACAGGAUAAUAAGCGAUUUUCAUGCCCAUCUUCCUAUAUCGACAAAUACUGAAAAGGAAUCUGCAAUAUUUGAUUGCUGAAAAACAAUGUUUUUGAUCGAUGGCAGUGUUGGAAUAUUUACCUGGAGGUAGCAACACUACUAAUCUGAACCAAAAAGACAGAAAAGGAGGAGUAAAUUGAUCAUUUAAUAAGUUAAUGCAUGUGUUCAAAAGCUGUGAUUUACUAAUACAUGGAAAAUGGUGUGUAUUACCAAUACACACCUCAAUACACAAUAAAGUGUAACUAAUGCAUGCAUUAGUUAUACAUUGCCUAAAAAGGUAUCAAACAAGGUACUAGUAAUAUACAUUAAACUAAUGCAUGUAUUAGAUUUUCAAUACACUCUACCAAGCGACUCCUUAUUAUGUAAGAGAUAUCACAUCACUUUUCUAAACAACACAAACAUGUCAUUAAUAAUAAUACAAAGAAAAUAAUAACUUAUCUAUUUUCUAAUCAAAUAGAAAUAAAAUUACAAACUCAUAAUAAUAAUAAUAUUGAAGAACAUCAAUAUUAAUAUUUUAACAAACAAUCAAUUAUAAAAUCAUGGCAUCAUUUUAAAAUUAUUUUAAUUAUCAAAGAACAAAAAACUAAUCGUGAUUAAAUAAUAGAUAAUUAAUAUCAUUUAACUUUUGAGGAGCUAUAAAAAUCAUUAAAGAGUAAUUAUGUAGAGACCUAAGGUAGUCUCUAGACUUUUCAAUAAUAGAAUGUAUUUAAAAAAAAAAAAUCACCAUAAAUUUGAAAAAGAGCAUCAAUUAAAAAAAAUAUUAAAAAAAAGAAUAAUAGAACUCCUACUAUGUAAGGUGCCACAUCACUUCUUUAUUUUCUGAUUUUACAUUAUAUCAAAAUUAUUUAUAAGUUCUAUAAUCUUUAGUUUUUACAUGAGUAAAAGAAGUUUGCUUUUGCAAUUCAAUAAAUAUUUUUUAAAAUCUUGGACUUCAAUUCAUUUUAGUAUGGAUUUUAGCAUGUUUUAUUGUGGUUAUUUAUUUCAUUAUAAAAAUAUAUUUCAUUAUUUUCAUAAAUUUUUUAAAAAUUUUAAGUUUCAGUAAAUCAUAAAUAUGGAGUAACCUCUAUCUUUGGACGUACUUAAUUUUAAAAUACAAAAUCAUUUUAUUUAUUUUUAAUAGUUAGGUAGUUGCUAUUUCAUAUGAAUUCAGCACAAAAUUAAAAAAAAAAAAAAAAACCACUUCAAAAGUUUAUAUGAAGAACACUUAUGAUAUUUCACUAAAUAAAGUAUCCAAUCUAAUUAUAAUCUAUUUGUGAUUAAAAACUAAAUUACUCUUACAAUCUAAAGAGAAAGAAACAAAGAAUAAUUAUAAACUAUAAUUAUAGUAUAUCGCACAAAAUUAUAUUAAAUAAAUUAAGAUAAUAUGACAAUAUCUCUAACGGAUAUAUGAACAAAGUAAAUGAAUAGAUAAAUGAUACUUCUAAACAAAAUUGAAACUUAUGAAUUUUGAAUUUAAAAAUUAAAGAAGACCAGAAAUUAGAAUACAAAUGUUCAUGUUUCAAUUCUAUGCUUCCCAAUAAGCAAUUGUAGAUCUAAUGAAUAUGAACACUAGUAAAUUUAUUUGCGCUUCGGGCGAUUACUAAUAACUAAAAUAUAUUAAUAAUUUUACUAAAUAUAAUAUAGAUAAAAGAGGUAUUUGCAAUAUAUAAAUAUACUACUACCAUGGCGGAUUCAAGAUUUUGGAAUCGCAUGUAUCUGGAAGGUUCGAACACACAUAUUGAUGCCUAAAACUUUUAAGGUUCUGCCUAAAAAUCAAAGCAACCACCUAUCUUCUUGAUUUUCUGGAUGUGUUUUAAAAUCUUAUAGUUUGUGUGUGUGUGUGUGUGUGUAUAUAUAUAUGUAUGUAUGUAUAUAUAUAUGUAUGUAUUGAUUUCAUAGAAAAAAUGUCUAUUUAAUAGUUAGCAAACUUCCAAUAAAGUCAUAAGUUAUUACUUCGAAUCAAAAGAAAUUAUAAACUUGCUAUAAUAAAAACUUGUAUAGAAUAUAAAAUUAAAAGAAAUGGCAGUGAGAACGUAUAGAAAGAUAAAUAAUGUAGCAUAACAUAAAAUUAAAAAAUACAAAAUCAACGUACAAUCAUUUGAGAUCUUGUCCACAUCCACUUCCACAAGUUAAUCACCAUUCAAUACUCUCUAUCUUGUCCUUCAGGUCAAACGCAAAGCAUAAAUAUCAUUAGUAUCAAAAUCAUAACAACUUAAAAGGCUAAUCGGAUUAUUUUUUAAAAGCCUUGCUAUCUUUUAAUUUUAAAAAAUAAAAGUAAAGUCUUACUAUAUUUCUAUUUAUAGGACUAUAAUAUGAAAUACCAAAUAAUAGCAUGAAUAUAACUAUUAAUUAUUUUACUGAUUAUGACAUUAAAAGGAUGUGGAAGCAAAUGAAAAUAAAAACCACAAGUUAUACAUUGAAAAUUAACGAAAUGACUUUUGAAUUUCUUAAUAUUGCAUAUUAAAUAUGAUUAAGAGACUUAAAGGAUGGUUGUUUUUUUUUUUUUUUUUUAAAAAAAAAAAAAAAAAAAUUGAGGAUUUCUUGUAAAAAAAAAAAAUAGCUCCUGAAAAGAUGAAAAGAAAAAAGAUAAUUAUAUGUUUUGGUUAAAGAAAGGUGUCAUAUCACAUUGUUUUUAGCUUUAUGAUCAUCAUGCAUAGUGGUUUUUAAUGGAGUAAAAGCUAAAGAAAAGGAGGAAAAAAGAUAGCUAUGCCAACAAAGUCAUAAAUUAUUAUUUUAAACAUUAAAAAAAUUAUAGAUUUACUAAAAUAAAAAAUUCAUAUAAAAUGCAGAAUAAAAAGAAAACAUAAAGAGAACAUAUGAAAAAAAAAUAAUGCAACAAUAUUCUUAUGAUAUUAAUAAUUUAAAAAGAAAAAAAUAUAAAAUUAAUGCAUAAUUGUUUGAGUUCAUGUCGAUAUUCGACAUCUUCUCUCAUAAGCCGAGUUACACUACAGAUGCAGUUAUUAAAAAAAAAACUUUACGUGUCAUAAAUCUAUGCUUGUUGUAGUUGCAAGUUAGCAUGCAUCUCCCAUACAUCAAUUGAUUGUUGUCUUUCUUGACAGCAUAUAGUUUAUAACGUCUUGUGCUCACAAACACAAGGUACAUGCUAUAAACUGUUUCGAAAUGAAUCUUUACAUUCUUAUGUAGAAUCUUUUUCCGGUAUAAUUGAGAAGAAAACAAAAGAAAUAUUUCAAAUUUGUUGGUAUCUUUUCUUGUUCCAUAUUUAUGAUCAUAUAUAUAUAUAUAUAUAUAUAUAUAUAUAUAUAUAUAUAUAUAUAAAUUGAAAAAUGAGAUAUAUUUCUAUCUAAGAUUAUCAAGAUCUUAUCCAAAGCCUAAUUUUAGAAAAAAAGAAAAGAAGAGAAGCUAUUAUCAAUUUAAUAAACUUAGAUCAAUUAAUAUUUUCUUCAAUUUUCUUAAUUUCACUCUAUUAUACUCCUAAUAUUCUAAGAUAUUAUGAAAACGUAAAUUACUUGUUCAAUAACUCAAUCUUCAAAAUCUUCUAGCAAAAAUCUCUCUGUCCCUUCCUUUGAGUUAGAUUAUUAAACUAUCUGAUUAAGAUAUUAAAAAGAGAUAGAAAAUAUGUUUCAAGAUUUUAUGAAUAAAUCAGUUUUUCCUUUUACGAACUUACAAAACAACCAAAAAGAAAAAAAAAAUUACUUUCCUUAGAAUUGCUUGAGAGAGAGAAGAGCCAACUUUUAUGAUUAACUUGAAAAUUAAUUAUGAAAAUUACAUAAGUGUUGAGCAUAAAUUUAUAGCAAAAAAUAUUAUUAGAAGCAAAUUAUAAUCUCAAUUCUUCAUAGAAGAUUUAUAAUUCUAAAAGUAAUCCUUAUUCUCCUUUGAUUUAGGUCAUUAAAUUAUUCAAUCACAAUAUAAAAGAAUUUUUUUAAAAGAUUUUAUGAGUGUAAUAAAUUCUUCUUACAAAACAUAAACAACAAACUUGAGAAAAGAAUACAUUUAUUUACCUUAAAAAUUAUUUUUGAGAAUAACAAAAUUUUGAAGCAUUGCUAACAAAAACACUCUCUGAAAUGUAAAUUCAUUUGAAAAGAAAGUAACAUUAGAGAUGGAAAUGGCCAAUGUCAAUAAUAGUGAACCAUACAUAAUAGUUGCCAACGUUUACUUCACAUUAAUUUAUUAAAUGCGACAGUUUUGUUAUAAACUAAUAAAGAAUAAACAAAAAGAGUAGAGAGAGAAGAGAGAGUAAUUGUUAUUUCUCUUGAUGGAUGAAUUACAAUGAAGCAAAACCCCUUUAUUUAUAGGGAAAAACUAACCUUGGGGUUUGUAACUUUUUCAUAAAUAGACAUACACAAUAUAUGGUAAAGUAGGUAUUCACUAUAUAUGGUAAAGUAGACAUUCACUAUAUAUGGUAUAUUUAUAACGCUUCCCUUGAAUGACUAAUUGAUAGAUAAUGUGUCUCGUUAAAACCUUACUAGAAAAAACCCAGUGGAAAAAAAAUCUAGUGAAGGAAAAAGAGUACACAUCUCUAACAAUACGCAUGUAGGCUACCUCAUUAAAAACCUUCCAAGGAAAAUCCAAUGGGACAAAAUCUCAUAAGGAAAAAAGAGUACAACGCAUAUUAACUCCCCCAAUGAGCACAUUCUUGAGCCUUUGCAUCCUGAUCUUGUGCACCAUCUUCUUGAAAGUUGUAGUUGGAAGAAACUUGGUGAAUAAAUCAGUCAUAUUAUCUCUUGAAUGAAUCUGUUGCACGUUAAUAUCACCAUUCCUUUUAUAGCUCAUGUGUAUAGAAAAGCUUUGAUGAAGUGUGCUUCGUUCUAUCUCUUUUGAAAAAUCCUCCAUUAAGUUGUACUAUGCAUGUUGCAUUAUCUAUGUAUAAAACUGUGGGUACAUUGUCACAUUUCAAAUCACAUUUUUCUCGAAUGAGAUGUAUCAUGAACCUCAACCACACACAUUCUAGGAUAGCUUUAUGAAUAGCUAUUAUCACAUCAUGGUUCAAUGAAGUGGCUAAAUAGACUAUUUAAUAUAUCUCCAAGAUAUAGCAGUAUCCCCACAUGUGGACCCAUAGCCUAUUUGAGAUCGAGUUUUAUGCAGGUUAGGUAAAUACCCAACAUCAACAUGACGAAAAGAUCAGGACUGCAAUCCUUAGAAUAAAUAAGCUCAUAUGUCUGAUCUCAUUUUGAUGUCUCCUAGUAGAAGUAGAACCAUUUAUACCUUGCUAACAAAUUGACAAAAAAUGGCUAUGUCAUGCCUUGUAGUAUUUGCAAGAUACAUUAGUGCACCACUUGCACUAAGAUAUGGUACUUCAUAACCAAGGAGUUCCUCAUUCUUUUCUUGAGGUCGAAAUGAAUCCUUAUUCAAUUUUGUAUGUUUCUCAUUUAAGCAAAAAUUCUAUUGCUUUUGAAAACCUUCCAAGAGUUCCAAUGAUACUCAAAUCAUCAAAUUAUCUCUUAUGAGGAUAGUAAGAAGUUUUCCAAAAACUUUAUAUGCUUCAGGAAUUUUGAAUCCUUUAGAGAUUUUCAUAUGGAUUUUUAUCAAGUGACAAUAUCCAACAUGUCAAGUGUGACAUCUUCAAGUGUCUGGACUACAAAUCAAAUAAGUUUUAUACUUAUCAAAAUGCAUCCUUUCAUGUCACUUGAUAAAUAUUUCUACACCAGCAUGCUUAAAUAAAUGUAAAAUUCAGAUCCUCGUAAUACUUUACAAUAUUGCGCCAAUAUUGUAUCAAGAUAUCAUCGACGAUUUCUUAUUUUGUAUCGGUUCACAAUGUGACAUAACAUUUUAAGAUCUCAUCACUUCAUUAUUUUCAGGUACCUAAACCUCUCAUAAGGUUUCAUAAAGUGUUAUGUCGUAGGCUCUUCAAGAGCACAUUGCCUUCUUAUUAUGAUUAUUUUCUCCUUAUCUUUUUCAAGGAUUAUUUCAUUUGGAACCGAUUGGUCUACCACGCUUCACACAUGCAUAGACUUUUUCCUUUAGGGACACAAAAUAGGAGCACUUGCAGCUUAAAUAUGAGAUGCGUUCAACAUUUGACUAGAAUUAUCUUUUGAAUGAGGAUCUGAUGAUAAUUCCUAACAUAUUUCUUAACUGCUUAUAAUCUCCCCCUUAUGUUAGGAAAACUAACAUACAUCCUCCAUCUUAUUUGAGGAAUUCAUCUUUGUACAUCAUGGUAUAUUCAUUGAUCGUAUACCACACAUCAAAACUAUUAGAUGGAAUAGUUGGUUCCUGACCUUGAACCAAUUGAGAGGGAAGAAAUAAUCAUAAUUUAUUAGUCUAAUGCAUACAAGUGCUAUUGUAUGUAACAUAUCAUAUUUUAUAACAACACAUGAAGUUUUGUUCUCAUUAAUAAUGAUUUAGCUAUUUAUCAAAGGCAUUCAAUGUCAAAUCAUCAUCAUCAAGAUGAAUUAUCUUGAUUACACAAUCUUUAUGCUCAAGUUAUAUUGAGUAAGUAACUUUAUGAAUGUCACACGUAGGUUGACAAUGAAUAUACAUGUGAUCAUCUUAUUGAUGCGUCUUUUCAACAUAUCACAUGAUAGGUGACCGGACCCUUAUUCAUCUUUAAUACUUUUCAAAUUUUAAGGGAUCCAAUCCUAAAAUUAGUUGGUCCAACAAACUUAUCAUGAGAACAAGCAACAUUAUAAGUUCAUGAAGAAUUUUCUAGUUCUUCAAUAUAUGUUUAAUACUCAAUAUGCAUACCUUUAGGAUGUCACAAUCGUUCAUGUCAAUUUAUGAACUUUUAUUCUAGUAAACUCCAAGUUUACCAUGACAUGUACUUUGUUCUUUUGUAAAUUUCAGAUUUACUAGGAUAUGAAUAGAUUUUAGAUUUACUACUUGAAAAGUAGAUUUCAGAAUAACUCUUCUUAGUUAUUCUACCUUAUUCGAAGGUGAGUUGUGAAGCCAUCACAAUCAAGUUCACGUUUAUUGAUAAGCUUCACUAAAUAUCAUCACAUUCACCCAGAAAAUGGAUUUAUGCUUAUAACAAUUAAAAUUCUCAUUCCCAUGAAUGAAAUAUAAUGUGCCUCAAGCCUAUCAAAUUGAUAGUUUAUAACCUCUUAUAUGAUAUUGCUAUUUCAGGAGCAAAUCGAGGCAUACAUAUGAUCUAGAGAAUUUUUCUCUAACAUAUCUUAUGAUCAUAAUAUGCGUGUGAAAAUAUUAUCACUUUUGAUGAUCAUUAUCAUAUUGUCUCUCCACGCAUAUAUUCAUGCAUUCAAUCACUUGUCUUAUUUUAGAUAUAUUAUGCACUGUUAUCAUAUACACUUUAAGAAUGAAGUAAGUUAUCAUAUUUCAGACUUAUCAUAUAUUGCUACCACAUUCACUUCAUGGAAUAAAGCAUAUUCAAUGGGACAUAUUUCAUGAAUUUUCAUUAAAAACACAUUAUUUUACCUUAGCCAUCAGAAUAUCAUCAAUAUGGUGCAUAGAGAUUCUAACUCAAUGUCUUACCCAUAUAAAGGUGUCUUAGGCAUAAAUUGAUGAGACUUAAACCCAAUAUAUUAUCAUCCCUUUUGAUAAUAUUAUUCUUGAGGAAUAAAUUUAAAACAUAAAUGGUUCCAAAUCAAUUAUUUUUUCUCAAAUCCAACAAUAAUUAUAUUAUUAGUAAGACAGAUAACAUAAGGAAUUACUAACCUUGAAAUUACCUUUAAAUUUAUAAUCUCAUCUUUUUUGACAAAGUCUCGUGCUGAUAACGUGUUAUAAACUAAUAAAUAAUAAAGAAGAAGAGUAGAGAGAGAAGAGAGAGUAAUUGUUAUUUCUCUUGAUGGAUGAAUUUCAAUGAAGAAAAACUCCUUUAUUUAUACGGGAAAACCAACCUUGGGGUUUGUAACUUUUCUAUAAAUAGACCUACACAAUAUAUGGUAAAGUAGGUAUUCACUAUAUAUGGUAAAGUAGACAUUCAGUAUAUAUGGUAUAUUUAUAACAAGUUUCAGGUUUUAGCAAAUGAAAUGAUUUUAAAUUUUUUAUAACACAUUACAUAGUAAAAAAAAAAGAAAAAGUCCAAAAAUUUGAGAGAAAGGAUAAGUAAGGAUCCUAGCUAAUGAGAGGUGCCACAUAGACAUAACUAUAACUUUCUUUUAUAUAUACUAGUCUAAUGUACGUGCGUUGCAUGUGUAUCUCCUGUCAAUCAAUAAUACUAUACAUAAGAAAAAUAAAAUUAUUAAAAGGUAGAUAUUAGAAUAAAGAAUUAGGUAGCAAUCUAAUGAAAAUUUGCAUAUUAACUAACAAUUCAGUCAUUGAAAGUUUUGAUCUGUGCGAAUCUUGACACUCAAUUGAGACCCAACCUUAAUCGUAAAAUCAACUCCCAAGAUCCUGAUUCCUGACCUGACAUGGGACAUGAAUUUGUAUCUUGACCUGUGAUUGGACUUACUGUCCAACUCUAUACCUUUAACUCCAAUUCCUGACUCUUAACCUUGAACCAAACCCGAAGCCCUAGACUCGGGAUCCAACUUUGAUAUGGGACCCGACUUUAAAUUCGAUUUCAAUCCCGAAACUCGAUAAUCGACCCAUGACUCCAAUCGAGACUUGAGUUUCGACCCAACUUCAGAUUCAAUUCUCAAAAAAAUUAAAUAAAGAAAGAGAUAAAACUUUAAUUUUUUCAACUAUUUCAUUCUUCGACGACAUAUUUAUUUUGUCCAAUAUUUUAAUCAGAAAUUAUAUUUUCCCCCAAAAUUCUAUUAGAAACUAAAUUUUCAAUAUAACAUAAAAAAUAUAAAAUUUUCACGUUGUAUCAAUGUAUGUAAUACUUUGUAUAUUUUGUGUAUUGCAUAUAUGUGGGUAUGUUGUUGAUCUGUUCAUUUUUGCACAUACAUAUUUAGAGUGAACAUUUGAAUUUUUAGUUCAUCCAAGAAAGCCUUGUCUUAAAGUUAGACAUGAUUAGUCUUUUUAAUCAAUUCAUAGACGACAUUAAAUACACAUGUCAUUUAGAAGUACCUAACAUAAAAUAUUUCACUUGAAUCGUAUAAUAAUUUAAUUUAACUCUUUUAUUAUUUUUUCCUUUUCAUCAUCCUAUCCCCCCCCCCCCCCUUAAAUUUGGUUAUAUAAGUGAUUUGACUUAUUUGUUUUUCUAGAAUCUUUAACCAUUUUUUUUUUAAAAAAUAUAAUAUAAAACUUCUUCGACAAAAUAUAGGUGAGAUUUAAAUUAUGGCUUUUGCAGUUAAAAUUUUUUAUUUUUUAGUGGAAGACUUGAGUUCUUAGAAUCUACACGUAAUCUAAUCAUACUAUAUUAGAAGUAAAUUGCACAUAAAAGUACGUCAUUACAAAAAAAUAUGACUAAUAAAGCAAAAAGAAUUUGACAUUUUAUUCAAAUUUAUGACCUAUAUAAAAAGGAGAGAAUAAUAUAUGUUUGCAUAAUUAAAGUAACUUUUACAUUAUUUAUUCAAGAACUUGUUGUAUGAACAUUUAUUUUGUCCUCAAAUAUAUUUUGACUAUUAAAUUAGAGUAGAAAACAGUAGAGAUAUUUAUCAUAAAAACAGACAAAUUUGCUAUCUUUAAAGGUAAACUUUAGACACAAGUUAUCCUCACCCGACAUCACCCAAUAUGAAGAAACAAACACACAAAAAGUUAAAAGGAUUUAACAUCUACUUCAUAUAUAUAAAAUAAUUUCAAUCAUAUACUCCAUAAAUGGUGUAACUCUUCCUGCGAAGAAAAUAUGGAUGAAGCCCCCUUACCUUACCAAGCUCAGCCACGUCCUUCACACACAAAAUAUGAAUUGUUAGUGUAAUUAAAGUUUUAUAUUAUCAAAUCAUCUAAAGAUAAUUAGAGACAAAAAGUAGUUAAAUAUAAAAUGUGAAAUCUUGAAAGCAAGACAAAGUUACCUUCUAAAAUGAUGAUUUGAUGAAUGUGACUUAAACUCAAAAUGAAACUAAACUUGAUGUUUGUACUUAAACUUAAAACAAAACUAAGACAUGUCACACCCCUUUUUUAACUCCAAAAAUUAGAUUUUAAGGUUCGAAAGAGUUUUUAUUAUUAAAGUGACCAAAUGAAGAAAAGUUUGUUUCCAAAAAGGACUAUUUACAUUUUUUAUUCAGGGUCGCCACUUGGUAUAAUCCAGUGUGCCAAGUCACCUUUGCAAAAUCCUUUUCAAAACUAUUUUGACUCUUUUAAAAUUGGUUUGCGAACAGAGAUACGGCUCAGGAAUUCUGUUGAUCGAGGGGAAGGUGUUAGGCAUCCCUCGAUCCCGUGGUUAGCCCACGAUCGCUUGGUGGAGCGUUUUGGCUAAUUCGACACUAAAAAUGUAUAAACCAUAUAAACACACAACAAUUAAGCAAACAAACACAAACCAAAAUAAAUUUCAAAAAUAUACGGUUCAGCCCAAUUAUACAGUCCAAAGUAAAAAAAAUGCGAAAAAUAUAAAUUCUAUUCUAACCUAUACUAAUCCUAAACUGUGCUCCCAUGCUCUACCCGAUGCCUCGGGCCUUCGCCACGAAUGUCCUCCGAGUACAAAAUACUUCGGGGCAUUUUUCGGAUAAAAUAAUACAAGUACUUCGGGGCAUUCCCCAGCCAAAUGAUACAUUUGAUCCAAAUUUAUAAAAUAAAACCAUUUAACAAAUAUUUUGAACAUUCAACAAUCCACAAGUUCGAAAUUCGCCUACCCAAACCUACUAUUUGCCUACCCGACUCGACCUAUCAUGAUUCUAUUACAUUCAACAUCAUCAAUGGAUCAAAAUUAACCCGGAUUUAAUCAACAUUAAUAUCCAUUUCAAAUCAAACAAUCUAUUCAAAUUACUUCAUUGACUUUCGAUUCCCAUCCCAAAUCAUUUUUAAUCAUUGUUCCAACAUAACAAAUCAAUGAUAAUAUUUCAGCAAUCCAUAAUCAAUAUCACUCGACAUUCAUCAUUCACAUCACACAUAAGAUAAGAAAAAGUCAAGACGAUAACAAUCAACCAUACACAACAAUAAAAAUUAACUAAGGAUAAGAAUGAGAUAAAGAGAUGGACCUUAAAUUGGGGAUUUUAUUCAACCAAUUGAACUGAUUUCAACGACGACGGGAAUCUAAUGGACCAAUGAACCACGGACAAACCCCAAACUAGAACCCCAAAAUCUUAAAGACAAACCCAGUGAUAUUUCUGGCUAGUUUUUGUUCGAAGAUCAACUGAAACAGAGAAAAAUCUGAGCUGUGGUGGUACUGGUGAAUUCCCGAGAGAGUCUAUAGCUCCACGAGCUCAGAUGGGUCAGAAAACAGAGAGUAGAUCAAAUCUUAAGCGAUAGGGAUGUUUUUCGGCGAAAAAUCAUCGGAAUAGCCAACCCAUCAUUGAUUUUCUCUCUCUCGAUCUCCGAUUUCUCUCUGAAACCCCCUCUCUAUCACUCAAUUCUCUCUCUUCUCUCCUGAUCUAUGCGUCUUCGUGAGUACGAGAGUGAGCUGUGCGUUUCCCUGUGUGUGUUCAAUUUUGUGAGGUGAAGAAGAUGAAUUUUAAUGAAUUUGCUGUGAGUGUUCUCGUGUGCAAAUGGUGAGUGGAUUGUUCUCUAUGGCUCAAGAAAAAUAAAAUCGUGUAUGCGUAUCCCCCCUCCUUUCUUGUGGAUGAUAAUGAUAUAUGGUGAGUAUAUCUAGUGGGACCCGUGAGUGUGAUGAAUGUUAUGCUCAAUUCUGUUAAGGGAAUAUGUUGUGGGGUCCUCCUCUUAGUUUUUCAAUUCUAUUAUGAUGAUGGUAUAUAUAUUUCUAUUGGCAUAUUGUGUGAAUGGUGCCUUUGAUUAGUUGCAAAAACUUGUAAAAGAAUGGUUAGAAGGGACACGUGGGGCAGGGGUGAGGUGAGGUAGAGUGUGGGGUAGUGUGGUGAGGUGUCCGCUUUUAAUUGGAGAGGUUGUUAGGAUAGGAUUAAAACAAGAUAAAAUUUGUUAAGGAUGUUAUUUUUGUCAUUUUAUGGAGGGAUAAUUACAUGGUUGAGGGUACACAAUAGGAUAAGGUAAAAUUGAGUAAAAGUGAUAUCGGGGAGGAACAAAAUUAUGUGUCUAUAUCAUGCCCCCUUUGAAUGUAAACACGAAGUAUUUUCAGACAAAGAAGUAGACAACGAUACAAAAUUUUGUCUCGACCAUUAUUCAAGGAAAUAAAAGGAAGAAGAGCAGCUGGGUCUUGACUUAGGACAUUCUACCUGCCUAAGUUGUGAGGGAAUCAUGUCACGUGUAUUUCAGAGGAUUUGAGAGAGAAGGACUAUACCGAAUUGGAGAGUCGAGUGAGGUUCCAUCGAGGUUCCGGUCCGCGGCUCUGUCAUUAAUCAACAAUGAAAAUUAUAAGUUAAAACAUAAAUGAAAUUACAAAAUUCUAUCUACGCAGCUUAUUUUUGGACUCUUGACUUUAGUUUCAUCACCCUAUUCUUUAGGCGGGCUCCUGACUUGCAAUUUCUUCAACUUGUUGCUUGCCUUUCAAUUUCUACACCCUGUUCUUCAGGUGGGUUCCUGACUUGCUAUGUCAUUAAAUUGUUGCUAUGCUUUCAAUUUCUUCACCCUGUUCUCCAGGCGGGUUCCUGACUUGCUAUUUCAUCAACUUGUUGCUAUGCUUUCAAUUUCUUCACCUUGUUCUGCAGGCGGGCUCCUGACUUGCUGUUUUUUAAUCUGUUUAACUUUUAAUUUCUUUACCUUGUUGCUUGGUUUUCCAUUUAUCCGCACUGUGCUUCGAGCAGGCUCCUGAAAUCACAUCAAAACGGGAAAGAAGAUUAUCCCAAACAAAAUUAUUAUAAAGAGAUCAGUUGCUAGAAAAGUGAAGUUCCAAACAACAAGAAUUAAAUUUUGCUCCAGUUUAUCAUCAAAGGACUUUUGUGAAAGUCACAUCAUUAUAGGAAUUAGGGAGAAUGACUCGACUAUAAGGUACGUCUUAUAGGAAUCAAAAGAAUUGACUCGACUAAAAGGUACGUCUUCUAGGGGUUAAGGGGAAUAAACCAACUAAAAGGUACGUCUUAUAGGAAUCAAGUAAGAUAACUCAACUAAAAGGUACGUCUUAUAGGAGUCAAGGGGAUGACUCGACUAAAUGGUACGUCUUCUACGGGCUAAGGGGAAUGAAUCGACUAAAAGGUAUGUCUUAUAGGAAUCAAAAGGAAUGACUCGGCUAAAAGGUACGUCUUAUAGGAAUCAAAGGAGAUGACUCGACUAAAAGGUACGUCUUAUAGGAAUCAAAGGGAAUGACUCGACUAAAAGGUACGUCUUAUAAGAAUCAAAGGGAAUGACUCGACUAAAAGGUACGUCUUAUAGGAAUCAAAGGAGAUGACUCGACUAAAAGGUACGUUUUUUAGGAAUCAAAGGGAAUGACUCGACUAAAAGGUACGUCUUCUAGGGGUAAAGGGGGAUGACUUGACUAAAAGGUAUGUAUUAUAGGAAUCAGAGGGAAUGACUCGACUAAAAGGUACGUCUUCUAAGAGUCAAAGGGAAUGACUCGACUAGAAGGUACGUCUUUUAGGAAUCAAGAGGGAUGACUCGACUAAAAGGUACGUCUUCUAGGAAUCAAAGGGAAUGACUCGACUCAAAAGAACCUGUUCGUGGAUGACUCGACUAAAAGGUACGUCUUAUAGGAAUUAAAGGAAAUGACUCAACUAAAAGGUAUGUCUUAUAGGAAUCAAAGGAGAUGACUCGACUAAAAGGUACGUCUUAUAGGAAUCCAGGGAAAUGACUCGACUAAAAGGUACGUCUUCUAAGAGUCAAGGGAAAUGUCUCGACUAGAAGAUAUAUCUCCUAAGAGUGAAGGUUUAAUUUAAGAAGUGUAUCACCUAGCAAAUAAAAACUGAAAUCCCUAGACAAGAAAGUGUGUCUCCGAGGGAUAUAAGAUGAUGAUUUUUUACCAUGAUUUGAUUAUCAAACCUGUGCAACAACAUUGCUUUCUGCAUUUGUAGAAGUGAUAAAUUAUGGCCUUUGUUGUUUAGGAAUAGAAAUCCUUGAUUUGAAGGUAACCUGUUCCUGUUUCAUACAAAGAAAACUUCUGAGUUUAAAACAUGAUGGCUGGUUUGUGGCUUUGGCUUUCAAGGCAAUCGCUCUUGCCCCAAUCAUAUUUAACCUUGCUUCCAACCAUUAGCAUAUGUCAUUGGCUUUUUGCAUCAUUGAAUAAAACUCAGGUUAUUAAGAAUGACAGAAACGAACACAAUAUCUCUGCUUUGCCAUGCUUCUCAGAUAGACCUUUGAACCUUGGUAUUUCCAUGAGUUCCCUGAAUUCUCUAUUUACAAAACUUUAUACAUAUCCUUUUUGGCUCACAAUCAUGUCUCUUUCAUAUGCUAGAUUUUGUCUUGCUUUGUGCAAUUAAUGAAGCUGGUUGCUAGUUUUGAAAUCUUUUCUCACUUUUUUUUACACAGACUUGACUCAAAGACAAGAAAAUAAAAUAGAAUGACAAUUUUUAUUUGGAUAACUGACUCAAGAAAGAUAAACAAAAAUAAAGAGAAGAAAGAAAAGACAAAGAAUUUCCCCAUUUGAAAUAAAAAAAUGACAAAUUCAUUAAAAUAACGACAGUCAACUCUAAUGAUUAUGCCAUGAAUUUUAGAUUAAGCAGCUUGAUCUUUUCAUCUAAACUUUCUACCAAUUGUUGUUGAGUUAACGGCCUUGAAACUGAGUUACUUUCUUAGGUCAAUUGCAUUUACGACCGCAUUCGGCUAGUGGCGCCUUAAAGGGUUUUCGCCAACAAGCCUCUCUCAUUUUUCUCUUAGCUCACCAUCGCCUUAUGGUGCCCGUGAGGGUUUUCACCAAUAAGACUCUCAUUUAUAUUUCUCUCAACUUACCAUCGCCUUACGGUACCCACGAGGGUUUUCACCAAUAAGACACUCUCAUUUUACUUCUUUCUUGAUUUCUUAUGUGAGGAAGACAAGUAGUUCCCAAAUGCAUCAUCAUAUCCCUUGCAUGUUUAGCCUUAACAUCCUCAAGGAUUGAUCUGAAGGUCUUUCUUUGGUUGUAACUUGACUUUUGGAUAGGGUUAGAAAGAAAGGAUGGUAUGGGGCCCGAACGACAAUUGAAGUGCGGUGGGACUUACAACUUUUAAAAUCGAAUCAAACAAUAAGGAUUAACUUAUGCCCCAGUUUCUUUUGACUGGGCAAUUCUAAACUAUUUAUUUGGUUGGACCGAGCCCAGAGUAGGGCAGCCUACGUAUCUCACCCCCGUGAGAGGAGAAUCAGGUCACGCGUAGUUCUGGCGGCUUAUUCUUUUGCUUGAUUCUGAUUUUUUUUUCUUUUGCUGACUCUUUUAUUGUCUUUUUUUUCUUUUUGGGACCUUCUGACUCUAUUUUUUCUUGACGCUCUUUUCUUUUCCUUCUUUUGGACAUAUUUUUCUGUCGUUUCUUUUUGAAACUUUCUGACUCUAUUAUUUUACUCGACACUUUCUUGUGAGCUUUGCUGACUCUAUCUUGAUUCCAAAAGAGAGGUAUGAAAGAAAAUAGAACUAAAGCUCAAAUGGGGUAAACAAAGGAUGACACAAUGCUUGGAUAGUAGAAUGAAAUGCCUUCAUCAUAUCAAUCCUUAAAAAUGCAAGUACAUAUCAUGCAAUAUGAAAGUGAGAGAUGAAAAUCAUUUGUGAUACUUUCACAAUACUAACUUUAACUGAGCAUGUGUACCACUACUUCUUCUGGGCUUGUCAAACAUACAACUCUGCCUUUGUUAUGCAUCCCUCACAUUGAAUGACCCAUGCUUUCAUGGAGUUGAUUUUAUUUCUGUUCCUCUUGAUAGGAUCACACAGACACUGUUUGACCUAAUUAAGAUAUGUCUUUCAAUUGAUGACCAAGUUAUUCUUGUAAUUCUCAAAUUAAAAGUCUCAAUUUUCAAAGAAGGUUUCAACUUUAUCACCAAAUGCCCCAGCACUCUAUCUAUUUUCUCAGAUACUCUCUUUUCCUAAUCUUAACUCUCUGAUUUAAUGCUUCAUGAUUAAGCUGGAUUUUAAGAUCUGACUGAAAAUUUUGAAGGCAUGUCAUAUCACUAGAAUCAACAUAAAAUGUACUGUAUAAAUAAAACAAACAGACAACACAUAUUUGAAACAUAAAAGAAAAGGGACACUUCAUUUAGUUGAAAUAAAAGAUAAAAAGGUUUGAACAUAAACGAUAAAUAGACAAAACAAGAUAGAUCCUGAACUACAACCCUGAAAUAAUUUGAAAAACAGAAAAGAAAACAAAAUAAACUACCAAACGUUUUUCUAGUAGGGAGAGGGGUGACUUAUCAAUUGCUCAGCCUGACAUAUUAGCCACUAGUUUGCAUAUCAGCAUGACUAGAGCUUCUACCACUGUCAGACACAUUUUCUUCAACAAAUAAGUUCUGGAUCCCCAUGCUUAACUCAUUGCCUCCCACAUAUUGUGCGGUAUCGCGUGCUGGUGAAGAACUCUGUGGGAUAGUCGAAGGGCCAAUGUUUUGCACCACAAUCAAUUUAUCUUGAAUUAUCUUUUCUAUAUCUCUUUUCAAAGUACGACAAUCUUCAGUACUAUGACCCUGAACAUCAGAAUGAUAUGCACACCGUACAUUAGGAUCAAAAUUUCUUGAAUGUGGGUCAGGUGUAUACCCAAGGAGAGGAGUAAUCAUGCCCUUCUAUCUCAAUCUCUAGAACAAACUAGUAUAGGACUUCCAAAUAAAAGUAAAAUUAUCCUUUUCCUUCCUCCUUUUUGCGAACUCUGGCCUCGGAUAAAACUUGGAUUUAGAGGUUCCUUGGUAAAUUCGUGGGGGUCGAGGACGAUGUUGAGGGACAGGUGCAUGCCAUUGUGGAUAAGAAGACGGAUGGGUACACAAUUGUGCAUUGUUCAAAGGACAUUGAGAAAGUGGAAUGGAACUCCUUGGAUUUUGAAAAGAGGAACCUUGUUGCAGAUGAAUAAGUGGAUUUGAUAUGUAAGCUUGGGAUUGAUGCUGACAGUAUUGGUGAUUUAGACCUCUCAAACUCUGCUUUGGCUCUGGCACGACAAUAGAUGUGUUUUCCUUCUUCUUUCUUUCAGUUUCCCUUGAUUGAUUACAAUAUCGUCCCAAAUGUUUCAUAGAAUCAUGCUGUCCACCAAGCUCCUCAAGUUUGGAUGUCUCAAAUCUUGGAGAAAGGUUAACACUUGAAAACAUGCCCCCGCUUUUAUACGAAACAUCUCCAUAUAGCCCACAAGUCCCAAGGAACUUUUCAUUUAAUUUUCUAUAGUCUUAACUUUCCCAACCAUUUUCUCUGGCUCUUCUAGCAUGCUAGGCUUCUGAGUAAGAAAUUUUGGCGGUCCACUUAACUUAACUGUAGGAUCAAGAGUAUAACAAUGAUCAUCAUGAGUAUUGAACGUGGAUUCACUAGUGUACUGAGGAAUCACAAUCAGUGGAUUGAUAGCCAAAGUGGAAGCCUUAGUAGAAGGUUGAGCAAUAAAAGCACAAACGGUAUGUGGUGCUGUGAAUGUGGUAGACUUAUGCUCAAGAGAUAAAGAAAAAGUGGUGGAAGUAUUAAGGUGCAUUUGACGAGGAAUGGAUUCUGACGCAUGCUGUGGUGCAUCAACAACAGUAGGAAACUGACUUUGCAAUUUUGGUGGAAGACUCAAGGUAUUUGCAGGGUCAAAAGUGGGGAACGGAGGUGGAGGCAGCCCACUGGCCCAAGAUCGAUAUAUUUCCAUCAUUUGUUGUCUUAGUCUCAAAUUCUCUUCCUUUAAAUUCUCAUUUUUCUGACUCUUUGUUUGAUCUAUGAGACCAUUCUCUGUAUCCUUGUUGGACAAAGCUAAACAUUCGUCAGAUUUGGUGUGAUGUGGAAGACCAUCCAAAAUGUCACAAACCAACCACCUUAAACUGACUCAACAAAAAACACAAAUACGUUAGAGUUCAAGACUUUCUCAAAAUCUUUUUUUUCUUUUUUUCUUUUUGAAAAGGUCACCGAACCCAAGAAGGGCGCCUACGUAUCUCACCCCCGAGAGAGAAGAAUCAGGUGUACGUAGUUUGUGAAGUCUUGCCAAAAUGGCCAAUUAAACUCUUUUCUCUUUUUUUUUUCUUGAAAAGAAAAAUGACAAAUUGUCAAAAGAAUAGACGAAUUUUUUUUUUUGAAUUUUUCGGCUUUAAUGACCUAUACAAAAUGAAACCUAUGAUUACCAAAGAAAAUCUUUUUGGAUUUUCAAUUUUGCAUUUCAUUCAAAAAUGAACCUUGAACCUAUUAAAGGAAAAUCUUUUGUAGUUUUCUUUUAAAGAUGUAUAUGAAACACCUACUCUAAAUGAAGAGUGAAGAAAAUCUUUUUGAAUUUUUGAAUAAAAUCCUCGAACCAAUAAUAGGUUGUCUAUGUAUCUCACUCCCGAGAGAGGAGAAUCACGGGUGCGUAGUUCGUCCAAAUUGGACAAUUAAGGAUUAAAUGACAAACUAAACCCUGAAUUGAGAGACACGACUAAAGACAAACAAAUAAAGUUAUUUUUGAAUUUUUAAUUAGAAACUAACACCAACAACUAUGAAAGAAAAAAUCUUUUUGAUAUUUUUCAUUAUAUAAAAUUGUACAAAGCUCCUAUAGAAAGGAAAAAAUAUUUUUUUUGGAUUUUUCGAAUUGUGAAUACUUACUAAAGAAAUAAAAGGAAAAUCUUUUUAAUGGUUUUAAUUUUUGGGGAAAUGAGUGCAAAAAGUGAAAAAAAUAUUUUUUUUUUGAAUUGUGAAAAACAAAAGCCAUAAAGAACCCUGAAAACUACCAAAUCUCUUUUUUUCAUUCUUUUUUUUCUUCACUUUUUUUUUUCAACAAUUUCUUGCCUACACACUUUGCUUCUAACUCAUGCUUUUGCCCAAAUCAGUCUAUCAAAUGACUUCGUUACCCUCAAAGAUGCAACAUUUACCACGUAGGGAUCUUUAGAGGUGAGUCUCCUACAAAGGGCCACGUGGAUCCUGCUAGAUCUCAAUAUAAUGCAAAUAAGCAUGACCUAAAGGCUGGCCUGUGCUGGGGUUCACUAACAAGGCUGUUUGGGGAAGCGUAUGGUCGAUAGUGACUGCGCUAGCUUUCCACCCACUCCAUAUCAGCCGACGGCUCCCCCUCCUAAAAAAUAAGAGUGACUCAACUAUAGGUCGUGUAUACAGUGUGUACAACAAAACUUGUUGCAGAAAGAAUUGACUCGGGUUAUGCAAAUGAUGCUAGUUAUAAAGCGGUAACACAUAAGAGAAAAACUGUAAGCACGUAGCACGUAAACACUCCACAAUGAUAAAACAAUAACACAAAAUAACACGAACAAAAUGUUUAUACACCUAUAGUGCUAAAUAAGCCGAUAAAACUUCAAAAAUAAGCUCGAAUUCUGAAAUGUAAUCCCCAGUGGAGUCGCCAGAGCUGUCACACCCUUUUUUUUAACUCCAAAAAUUAGAUUUUAAGGUUCGAAAGAGUUUUUAUUAUUAAAGUGACAAAAUGAAGAAAAGUUUGUUUUGAAAAAGAACUAUUUACAUUUUUUAUUCAGAGUUGUCACUUGGCAUAAUUCGGUGUGCCAAGUCACCUUUGGAAAAUCCUUUUCAAAACUGUUUUGACUUUUUUAAAACUGAUUUGCGAACAGAGAUUCUGGCUAAGGAAUUCUGUUGACCGAGGGGAAGGUGUUAGGCACCCUUCGAUCCCGUGGUUUGCCAACGGUCGCUUGGUGGAGUAUAUCGGCUAAUUUGAUACUAAAGAUGUAUAAACCAUAUAAACACACAACAAUCAAGCAAACAAACACAAACCGAAAUAAAUCCCAAAAAUAUAAUGUUCAGUCCAAUUAUACAGUCCAAAGUAAAAAAAUGUGAAAAAUAUAAAUUCUAUUCUAACCUAUACUAAUCCUAAACUGUGUUCCCAUGCUCUACCCGAUGCCUCGGGCCUUCGUCACGAAUGUCCUCCGAGUACAAAAUACUUCAGGGCAUUUUUCGGAUAAAAUAAUACAAGUACUUCGGGGCAUUCUCCGGUCAAAUGAUACAUUUGAUCCAAAUUUAUAAAAUAAAACCAUUGGACAAAUGUUUUGAACAUUCAACAACCCACAAGUUCUAAAUUCGCCUACUCGAACCUACUAUUUGCCUACCCGACUCGACCUAUCAUGAUUCUAUUACAUUCAACAUCAUCAAUGGAUCAAAAUUAACCCGGAUUCAAUCAACAUUAAUAUCCAUUUCAAAUCAAACAAUCUAUUCAAAUUACUUCAUUAACUUUCGAUUCCCAUCCCAAAUCAUUUUUAAUCAUUAUUCCAACAUAACAAAUCAACGAUAAUAUUUCAGCAAUCCAUAAUCAAUAUCACUCGACAUUCAUCAUUCACAUCACACAUAAGAUAAGAAAAAGUCAAGACGAUAACAAUCAACCAUACACAACAAUAAAAAUUAACUAAGGAUAAGAAUGAGAUAAAGAAAUGGACCUUAAAUUGGGGAUUUUAUUCAACCAAUUGAACUGAUUUCAACGACGACGGGAAUCUAAUGGACCAAUGAACCACGGACAAACCCCAAACUAGAACCCAAAAUCUUAAAGACAAACCCAGUGAUAUUUCUGGCUAGUUUUUGUUCAAAGAUCAACUGAAACAGAGAAAAAUCUGAGCUGUGGCGGUACUGGUGAAUUCCCAAUGAGAGUCUAUAGCUCCACGAGCUCAGAUGGGUCAGAAAACAGAGAGUAGAUCAAAUCUUAAGCGAUAGGGAUGUUUUUCGGCGAAAAAUCGUCGGAACAGCCUACCCAUCAUUGAUUUUCUCUCUCUCGAUCCCCGAUUUCUCUCUGAAACCCCCUCUCUAUCACUCAAUCCUCUCUCCUGAUCUAUGCGUAUUCGUGAGUAUGAGAGUGAGCUAUGCGUUUCCCUAUGUGUGUUCAAUUUUGUGAGGUGAAGAAGAUGAAUUUUUAUGAAUUUGCUGUGAGUGUUCUCGUGUGCAAAUGGUGAGUGGACUGUUCUCUAUGGUUUUGAAUUGUGUGUUUGUGAACAAAGAAGAAGAAAAAGAAAAUUAUGUAUGCGUAUCCCCCCUUCUUUAUUGUGGAUGAUGAUGAUAUAUGGUGAGUAUAUCUAGUGAGAUCCGUGAGUGUGAUGAAUGUUAUGCUCAAUUCUGUUAAGGGAAUAUGAUGUGGGGUCCUCCUCUUUCUUUUUCAAUUCUAUUAUGAUGAUGGUAUAUAUAUUUAUGUUGGCAUAUUGUGUGAAUGGUGCCUUUGUUUGUUGCAAAAACUUGUGAAAGGAUGGUUAGAAGGGACACAUGGGGCAGAGGUGGGGUGAGGUAGGGUGUGGGGUAGUGUGGUGAGGUGUCCGCUUCUAAUUGGAGAGGUUUAGGAUAGGAUUAAAACAAGAUAAAAUUUAUUAAGGAUGUUAUUUUUGUCAUUUUAUGGAGGGAUAAUUACAUGGUUGAGGGUUCACAAUAGGAUAAGGUAAAUUGAGUAAAAGUAUUAUCGGGGAGGGACAAAAUUAUGUGUCUACAAGACAAUUUCACUAACUAAUACAACUGCUAUACGAAAAAAAUUCAACAGAAAAUAUCACCACGCUCUUUAUUCUCUUUCGACACUUCAUAAAAGCCUCCCUUUCCCAUUUCUUUUUCUUUUACUUUCUCAAUCAUAUCACUGCAAACUGCAAGAGCUUUAAAAGAUGUUGAAAAUGAUUAACAACAUAACACUAUUAGUUUAUUUGCUUCUUGUGAUCAUCUUAGUGGCUAAUCAUAAGUCCUAAUUUAUUUUUAAGAAAUUUAGUUGGAAAAAAAAAGGUGAAAAGACAGAUUUUCAAAGAGUUUGAAUCACCUUUCUAAGGGUCUUACCUUUUGCUCUUAACUCGUUACAACCAUAUAUCUUUUCUAGGAGCUUUCAUCUUCGAUCGAACAUUCAUCUAAAAUAUACACUUGAAAUUAAUAAAAUUGUUAAACCGCACCUUCAAAGCUCAUCGAAAAAGUAGUUAUAAAAAUAUCUCUGCCACCAGCAUUCCUAAACCAAACAAAAUCUGAAAAAAAUAUAAUAUAAUAUAAUAUAAUAUAAUACAAUACAAUACAUUAUAAAAUAUUAUGUAAUAAAUACCUGUGGACUUGGCCUUUAACCUGGUUGGAGAACUCAUUGAGUACAUUAUAAAAACCAAUACCAACAGUAGCCAAAAACCACUGCCUCAUCACUUUUAGCUACUCUAAACUCUCCUUAUCUAAUGCAUUCUUCAUUGCCUAUAUAUUCAACCUUAACUACAAACUUCACACAUUAUUAAAUCUUACUUAGCAAUCUAAGGAGUCAGAAAACCAAAAGCAAAGAAAACAAGAGUUACAUUUUAGAAGAAAUUAAGUCAAAAUGAAUUCAAGUAGGAGAGCAUGGAUAGUAGCUGCAAGUAUUGGAGCAGUUGAAGCCUUAAAAGAUCAAGUUGGAUUGUGUAGAUGGAAUUACCCAUUAAGGUCUUUGGCACAACAUACAAAGAAUAACAUAACGUCUUACCCUCAAGCCAAGAAACUUUCUUCUUCACUAAUUGCUAACAAAGUAGAACAAUCGGAAGUUAUACAAUAUAAUAUAAUAUAAUACAAUACGAUACAUUAUAAAAUAUUAUAUAAUAAAUACUUGUGGUAACUAAAUGGAUAAACAUGUUACACGUGUGCUUCAUGUUGAAUCGCCAAUCGAUAUAAAAUAUAUAAAAGAAACAUAAAAAUAGUCACGUAAAUAAAAAAUUAUUUUUAAAAUCACAUAACAAAUAACAAAAACAAAAACAACAUAUAGUGACAAAUUUGAAAACAAACCUGUUGUAGUGGAACUAAUAUUCGAUGGAAAGUAUGAUUACUUUUAUACAUAAGCAAAUCACGUAAGAACUUUUUGCUAGCCAUAUUCCAAUUGUGUUGUAUUUGUUUAAAAUUAAAAGGAGAGGAUAUAACAACAUUUGAAAUCAUACAAUCACAAUAUCAAUUAUGAAUUACCGAUCAAACUUAAAAAUCAAUAACAAUAAUCUCAUAAAUGUGAUCUGAAAAGGAUAGGAUGUUCGAACAUCUUACUCUUUGCAUGAAAGUGAGAUUGUUUUCAAUAGUCUCCGACUUGACAAAACAUAAUAGAAUAACGAAUAAAGCAAGUGGUCAAUAGUUGUGUUAGAUUUUGACAAGAAACAAAUAAUAGGUUGAGUAGGUUGAGAAAUUGCCGUAGUGAUGUAACAAUAUGAUCCCUGCGAGCAAUAUUAUCACCUAUUCAUGGUGGCACUCGAUCUCCAUCUAUCGAAGUUUGCAGAGAGAUGAAGCGGCCGUGUCAAGUAUGUUAUUUCAAAAUUUGAUCAUAAUAUUACUUAAAUAGAAUUAAUUUUUUUUAAUUAUUUUAUAUAAGGUAAAGUUUAAAUUGAUCUAGAAUUCAUUAUUAUGAUUUCCUAUCUACAUCAAACAAGGCCUUUCAUUAUUUUUUUACAUAUAUAGUAUUCUUUUCAUAUAUUUUAGGAGUCAUUAAUUUCUUUUUAUACAUAUAUUUAGGGGUCUUUAAUCAAAUUAAAAUUAUAAACAUUCUUUUUUAUAUAUGAAGUGAAACUCUAAUUUAUUUAGAAGUGUUAAAUAUUAUUAAUUCUUAUCUAAAUUAAAUAAUUUUUUAAUUAAUUUGAAAGUCUUAAAUCUUUGGACAAUCAUUAUACCUCCUUUUUUUUUUGCUUCUUAUUUUUUUUUCAUUUUCAUCCAUAAUUUUCUUUUUAUUAUUAUUAAAUUUUUUUCCUUUUCAUGCCUAGCUUUUUUAGGUAGGACUUUCUAUCUCCACUAAAUAUUUAACACACUUAAUUUUAAAGAGACUUUUUCUUUCCUCUAUUAACGGAUUUCCCCUUAAAUUUUGGUGCUUUUAAUUCCUCUUCACAAGCCACUUCUUAUUUGUUGUUUUGGUAUUAUAUUUUAUUUUUUGAAAAAUUUUCCUCUAUUAUUCUGAUUUUUUCUCAAAUUUCGACAUUUAUAGUUCCUUAUUUAAAUAGAAUUAUAGAUUUAUUUUUUUAUAUAAGAUAAAUUUUAAUUGACUUAAAAGUGUUAAAUAGUAUCAUUUCUUACCUAGAUCAAAAAGGCCUUUAAUCAAUUUUAAAAUAUUAAAUAUUAUAUAAUUUAAUAAUAUAAUAAUUGAAGAAAAUACGUGAAAAUACAAUUUUGUCUAUUGCAGGGACUUUUAAUAAAGGGCAAAAAGUUCAAAUCACCUUUUUAAGGGUCUUCACACUUUUAAUAUAUUAUAAAUUAUAAAUUAUAGAUAUAGAUAUAGAUAUAGAUUAUAGAUUAUAGAUAUAUUGAUUUGCUUGCAUCAAAAAUAAAUAUUAAGAAACGGUAAAAAUGUAGAUUUGCAAAUUUCAAAUAAAUUUAAAAUUGAUUUAUGUACCAAAUUGAUUGAAACUCAAAAUCAAUUCUCCUUCACUGUCUUUUGAAGAAUGUGCCCCCCACCUUAAUUACAUUAUUUUUAAAAAAUCAGUACAGUAGAAACGUCAAAAAAAAAUAAAAAAUUCAACAAAUUAGGGCCUAAAGAAAUAUUAAAUACACAACUCUCUAUGCUAUAUCAUCUUCAAAUCAUAAUACCCUCAACUAAGAGAAAAGAAAACCGCAAAUAAUCUAGUAAACAGUUGUAGUAGAAAUAGUUAAAAGGAAAAAAAAAAAUUACGAUGGCAAAUAACAUGUUAAAGUUGAUUUCUAUAAUUUUACUUACGAGCCAUUUCUCUUUUUCCUCAUCCAUUUUUAUUCCUCCAUUAUUUCGUUUUAUAUAUACUUUCUCCGUCUCAUUUUACUUGUUCCAAAUUUUCUAAUAUGAUUUUUCAUUUUACUUGUUAUUUUUCACAAUUUAAGAAGAGACAAAUUUUUAUUUUUUUUCAUGUUUUACCCUUUGCAGUAAUUACUUUUUCUUCAAAUUAAAAUAUAAACAUCAUUUAAUAUGAAUACUAUGAUAAAUUAAUUAUGUUAUUAAUUAUUUUUCUUAAACAAUAUGUCAAAUUAAAUUGGGACAAAUAAAAUGGGAUGGAGGAAAUAUCCUACAAUUAACAAUCAAAGCAUAUAGUAACAUUUUAUUGGGGAAAAUAAUGAAGCAGUGAUCAUGCAAUGUUCUAUACAUGUGCAUAUUAUAAAAGUGAUAAAAAGGAUACCAAAAGACCAUACAUGAAUGCAUAUUAAGAUAUCUAAUUAAGAGGAUAAUUACAAUGAGAGGUGAAAAGUUGAUUAAUUGAAUCUAAAUUUAUUUUAGACUAUUUAAAAUAAAAUAAAUAAAUAAUAAAGAGAAAAAAAAUCAAAAUAUCGAGAAAAACAUACAUAUGAAUGGAGAUUAUAAGGAGAUGCCACGUCAUUUUUUCUAUGACCAUCCUUUAUAUAAUAUAUAGAUUAGAGUAUUUACGUAUUAUUUAGAGAUAUGUCGUAAUAGAGAUGGAGGAAAGAGAGAGAGUAUUGAGAAGAGAGAAGAGUGUAAAUCAUGGAGAAAUACAUUUUGUAUUGUUUGUCAUGUACAUGACAUCAUGUCCGAAGGAUAACUAACUUAUUUAUUGACUAACCAAUAGAUUAACUAACUGAAUAACCAACUUACUGAUCAUGAAUUAGCUGAAGGUUGUAAUGACAGAAUGACCCUUUACUAAGUACUAACUAACUAACUAAUCUUAGCAGCAAUUUUAUUACAUAACCAAAUAGUUAUGCAAGUACCUAUAAACAGGCGCGGACCCACUAUGGUUCAAGUGGGUGUAUAUGAACCUAAUUCGUCAAAAAAUUAUACCGUAUAUAUAAUCAGUCUUUAUAAAGAUAAAUAUAUAUAUAUAUUUUUGUUUGAACCUACUAUGAUCAAGUUAAGUGGCUAUUCUAGUGGAAGGGGGUUCAAAUCCUAAGACAAGUGUCAUGAGUUCAAUCCCCUUGAGCAACAAUUUAAUUUUUGGUUGUCUUUUUUCCAAAAACAAACAGCCCCUAAUAUGUUAAUUCUUCAAUCCUUAAUUCCCCCUUAUUCCCCAUUCCCUACAAUAUAAAGAAGAAGCAAAAAAAAAUCUAAUUAUUACGGUUAUUUUUUAUUUCCUCAACUUAAAAAAAUUCUUUCUACUUAAAAUUGAAGAAAGCACAAUUGAUUUUCUCUUCAAUUUUAAUUACUUUUUUUACAAAUUUUUAAAAUUCAAAUACUUACAGUAACUCUUACUAAUCUAAUGAGACGAUUAAUUCGGCAAUACAGGUUCUAAAUUCAUUAAAGAGAUAUUUUGCUCCAGUAUCAUCAAAGUUGCCGCAAUCAAGUUCAUCCAUUCAAAAUACUCCUCGCGUGGAAGAGAACUUGAAUCAAGUAGAAGAAAAUCAUCAUUCUGCUAAAAGACAAAAGCAAAGAGUAAACUUGAAUUCUUUACUGGUAGAUCCAAAAGAAAGAAAAUUCAUUUGGGAAUAUAAUCUGAAUGAUCGUGAUGAGAUUAGGCGAGCAUAUAUUCAAAGAGGUCCUCAUCAACCUCGAGUUCGAGAGUUUCCUCAAAGAGAUAUUUCUGGAUUAAAAUGUCGUUUUAAUCGUAAAUGGUUUAAAAUAUAUCAUGAUUGGUUGGAGUAUAGUGAAAUUGAAGAUGUUGCUUAUUGUUUAUGUUGUUAUUUAUUUCAAGAUGAAAGCAUUCAUCAAGGUGGAGGUGAAACAUUUUCAAGUAUAGGAUUCAAAAGUUGGAACAAAAACAAAAGAUUAGAUAUGCACGUUGGAGGGCCGAACAGUGAUCACAAUAAGGUAAAGAAAAAGUGUGAAGAUCUAAUGCAACAAGAACAAUCAAUUGAAGCCGCAUUUGUGAAGCCAUCCAAUCAAACCAAGCUUGAAUAUAAAAUUUGUUUACAAGCUUCUGUUGAUGUGGUAAGACUCCUUUUGAAUUAAGGAUUAGCAUUUUGUGGACAUCGUGAAGAUGAAUCAUCAUUGAAUAAGGAUAAUUUUCUUGAAAUUCUUUCAUGGUAUGCAAGUCGGUGUGAUAGAAUUAGAGAUCUUGUGUUGAAAAAGUCUCCAAAAAAUAAUCAAUUGACUUUUCAUAAAAUUCAAAAGGAUAUUGUCACUGCAUGUAAACUUGAAACAGUUAAAGUUAUUAUGGAGGAUCUAAAUGGUGAUUAUUUCUCAUUGUUAGUAGAUGAAUCUUGUGAUGUGUCACGUAAGGAACAAAUUGCAAUUGUUUUGCGUUAUGUUGAUGGUGGGGAAUCUGUUGUGGAACGAUUUAUAGGGAUUGUCCAUGUUCAUGAUACUAGUGCUUUAUGUUUAAAAGAAGCAGUUGUUAACUAUCUUACUCAACAUUCUUUGAGUUUAUCUUGUAUACGAGGGCAAUGCUGUGAUGGAGCAAGCAAUAUGCAAGGACAUCUAAGUGGCCUUAAAGUUUUGAUUCAGCAAGAAAGUAGAUCAGCUCAUGCAAUUCAUUAUUUUGCUCAUCAACUUUAGUUGACUCUUGUUGGUGUAUCUAAAAAAUGUCUUCAAGUUAGAGAACUUGUUUUGUUGAUUUCCAAUGUAUUAAAUGUAGUAUGAGGUUCUUUUAAACGAAUGGAUGAAGUUCGACAAGCUCAAGCAGAAAAAGUUCAAGAGGCACUAGAUAUGGGUGAGAUUGAAACUGGUAAGGGCUUGAAUCAAGAACUUGGUCUUGCUAGAGAUGCUAAUACUCGUUGGGGUUCACACUAUAAAUCGUUUAAGAACUUUAUUAGUAUGUUUGGUUCUAUUACUGAUGUCCUUGAUACUAUUGUUGUUGAUUCUGAAUCUGUUGAAGAAAAAGCUAGGGCAACAGGAUAUCUCAAAACUUGUCAAACGUUUGAGGUUGCUUUCAUAUUGCACUUAAUGAGAGAUAUUUUAGCAAUCACAAAUGAGCUUAAUGAAUCCUUACAGAAAAAAGAGCAAGAUAUUGCAAAUGUUGUUCUACUUGUUAAAGUAGUAAAGAAACAAUUGCAAGAUUUACAGGAUGAAGGAUGGGAUCCACUUAUCAAAAAUGUAUCGGCAUUUUGUGUCAGGUAUGAUAUUUUGAUACCCAAUUUUAAUGAUUUUUAUGUUAAUUUUGGAAGAUCUCGACGAAGAGUUGCUGAUUAUACUAUUUGACAUCACUAUCGCGUGGAAGUAUUUCUUAAGAUUAUUGAUUGACAACUUUAAGAACUCAAUGAUCGUUUUAAUGAGGUGAGAACAUAUUUGCUUAUUGGGAUUGCUUGUUUGAAUCCUAUUGACUCAUUUUCUAAUUUUGACAUAAAUAAAAUAUUGAGAAUGGCUGAAUUAUAUCCUAAUGAUUUUGUUGAAAAUAUAAUGGUUACUCUCAAGAGUCAGCUAGAGACUUAUAUUAUUGAUGUUCGUCAUGUUGAUGAAAGGUUUUCUAAUCUAAAAGGACUUGGUGACCUUUCCGAGGAGCUAGUUAAGACAAAAAAAACACUUUCAUUAUCCUCUUGUGUUUCAUCUUGUGAAGUUUGCAUUGCUUCUGCCGGUCGCCGCUGCUACAGUUGAAAGAGCCUUUUCGGCAAUGAAGUUGAUCAAGAAUGAAUUGAUAAAUCGAAUGGAUGAUGGUUUCAUGAGCAAUUGUAUGGUGCCUUAAAAAAAUAUUUAAUACUUCAAACACCACAAUCAUGCCCGCUCUUCUAAAUGAGCAUGAUAUUGAUGAAUCCUCGAUGAUUUCCCAAUCAACCAAGCCGAAUACGAGAGAUGAUGCAAAAAAGAAGGACAUGGUACUAGAGUCGGAAGAAGAAGCCAAGAAAAUUCCUUAUGUCGACUUUAGCAAAUUUCAGAGUGAGGAUACCAAAAUGGAGACAACUCCGGAAUUGGUGAAAAAACCUCAUUCUAACCAUUUCUCAACAAUAAGUGCGGUGGAAUUGAUGAAAAUCAAUCCAUCCGAACAAAUCUUGAAUGAUGAUGAGAAUGAGUUAUUUCCUUACAUCCCGGAGUUUGUCUUUCCAAAAGGGUAUACUAAAACCCCAAUCAUCGUAAUCGCGCUUUUUGUGCCUUUUGAAAUCAACCAAUGCUGUGAAUAUAGCGAUGAAGAGCAUCAAAUGAUUGAUGGCAUACUUUUGACCUAAACAUGCAUGAGGUCCAGUUCCAAAUACAAGAAAAUUCUUCUUGUAAAACCUGUCCUCCUGCCUCUCCUCCAUAAACCUGUCAGGAUCAAAUUUUUCUGCUUCAGGGAAUCCCUGUAAACAGGAAUCAUUAAUUGAUGGGAACACAAUGGUUCCUUUUGGGAUAUCAUAAUCGUCAGUCAACUGGAACUCUUCCGUUGUGAGGUGCGGAACCAUAGGCGCUGGUGGUUUGAAUCUAAGCACCUCGAGCGCCACUGCCUCCACGUACUUCAUUUCCCUAAGCAUUUCGCCGGUCAGCGGCUCAUCAUGAGAUUUCGGCUUCCAGAAUCUCGCUACUUCUGUACGAACUUUCUCCAGAAUAGUUGGGUGAGUAUCCAAAAGUGCAACAGCCCACAGUAGAGAAGAAGUAGAAGCAUCUAGAGAUGCAAAGAGGAAAUCAAACAGGUAACCUCCGAGUUCCCUGUUGGUGUACGCAGUUAGAUUUUGUUCGUUAUGGGCUUUCAAAAUUUCCACCAUCCAAAAAUCAAUCAAGCACGUAGGUUCUUCGUCGCUCUGCAUCAUCUUCUUUUUGCAAUGCUCAGUGCAGACUGUAAGGGUAUCAAUUAGUCUGUUGUAUGCAAACCUAGCUUUUCGAAAUGCGAAACCAGGGAAAUCAAUAGGAAUUGUCGUCAAUCCCACAUUGAAGUCAUUGUAAUCGACGUUGAAUUGCAUUGCUGAUUCUUCAUUCAAGUAGGGACCCACAAAUAUGGUCUGGGAAGUCUCCAAGUUCAUGUUGCGGAUGAGGAAUCGAAGUGAGAUUGGUUUGGUAGGGGAUUUAGAUGCUUCAUUAUCCAACCAGGACUCGAUGUGUUUAAUAAUAAUCUUCUGUUGGAUGGCAGCGUAAGUUGCAAGAGCUCUUGGGGUGAAGUUCGUGGUUGUUAGACGGCGAACAUCUUUGUGUUUCUGGCCAGACAGGUAAAUCAGGUUGUUCUCCCCGAAGAGCUUUUUGCCAAUAGGAUGACCAAUAAACUGGAAUGCAUUGGCCCGUGCAUUGUUAAAGAUUUUGCGAGACAAUGCAGGAGAGCUGAUAUAGAGAAUAUGAAUCCACAAAUGACAUAGUUUGCUGAGAACCCAUGGCUAGUUGAUUUGGCAUAUGAAGAUUGAACUUGGCAGAAUUUGGUAGGAUUUGUGACCAAAGAAAUUACGUUGCCAAAGAAAGGGACAACUAGAGUUGGACCAGGAAGAAAACGCUUCUUUUUAAGGUAAGAGAGAUUUGCUCAUGAACUAUAAUAAGGACUAAGAAAGACAACAAGUACGGUGUCCAUAGGGACACAAGAGCCCAAAUAGAUGCACUGUCCAUUGGUUGCCAGUGGCCACACGUACAGGAAAAAAGAAAAUGCCUUGUACAAUUUUUGCCAUAUACGGUUAUAGUUGUAAAUAUAUACCACCACUAUAAGCAAUUGACUUCGAUUAUAAAAUGUUUUCUAUUGUCCAACGCUAAACUAAGAGUAAGUUGGCAUCACGUAUGGGUACAAAUUAAGAGUUGGCAUCAAGUAGGGGCACAAAUUAAGCUUUGACUGUUCAUAAAUUGAAUGUAACUUUUGCCUAUCCAAUUUUCUAAUUCCCACCAGUUCCAAUGUAGAAUUAUGUAAUUCAGUUAACAAUAGGAGUCUAAUCUCGUAACUACUCAAAUUGGGGGAUAUGUUUGGCUAUUCAAUUUUCUAUUCCCACAAGCUCCACUACAGUCAAAUUAUUAUAUAUAUUGCUCCCUCUGUUUCAUAACAAAGAGGUAUUUUUAGUUUGAAUACACCUUUGGGAAGUUUAGCAAAUUAUAUGUGGAACCCGCACGAAGUUAGUUUAAAAGGAAACAGAUUGGAACUUUAAUGGCACGCCAUUGUUAUGUGAACUUUGAAAUCUCCUCAUCUCCAUUCUCUUGCUUAGCUUCUCCCUUUGGGCUGCCUCUUUUUUUCUUCUUAAUCAUGUUUUAAUUAAUAUUCUAUUGCUAUCGAAUUUCUAUUCUUAGUUAUCUAAAAUUUAGGCAAUUUAAUUAUAUUAUUAGGUUAAAAUUCAAUUAACUCGAUAAAUGGCAAUGUCCUUCCAUAAGAAGUGGAUAUGAGAAAUGCAAUUUUUUUGUUAGCUAAGAAGCUUGGUGUAUAAAGGAAAGGAUAUUGUAUAGGUUAAUCCUUUUUUUCUCUUCGAAAUUUUGUGUACUUGUUUUCAUGUUUGAGGUUUGGUCCAAUGUCCCCCUCUAACUCUGUAACUUUUGUUGGAUGAUAGACAUGGUUGGGAUCAAGCCUAAUCCCUAACCCUGGUGAUGGCUUAAAAAAAAGGUAAAAUAAGAACAAAAUAAAUUUCUUUUUAAUCUUGUCAAAUCAAAUGAAAAAUGAAAGCAACACUUAUUUUAAAACAGAAUGAGCAUUAAGGAUGCAACAAAAUGUUGAAUACUCCGUCUGUUUAAAAAGGCCGGUCUACUUUUCUUUUUAGUCUGUUUAAAAAAUAAUGACUCCUUUUCUUUUUUUGGGCAAUACUUUAAUUUCAACUUAUCAUGUGACAUGUUUAGCACCACAAGAUUAAAAAGUAUUUUGGUACAUUUGACACAACUUUAAUUUAAAACCACUAGAUUCAAAAAUUUCUUUAUUUUCUUAAACUUUAUGUCAAGUCAAAGUAGGUCUAUCUUUCUAAACGGAAGGAGUAUAAUUUUUUAUUUCAUCUCUUAUACAAGUAGAUGGGAAAGCAAAAUAGUUGACCAAGUUAUGGUUGCUUCGUGAUUAAGAACCCCAUUGAUUAAUGACGGGAGUAUCAUUAUCUAUGAUACGUUCAUCUAAUCAUUACUUGUCAAUGACUAUGGCAUUCCAUGUCCCUAUUUAAUGUGUGUCACGUUUGCCAACUUGUAUCAGGAGGAGGCUUAUCCUUCAAGGAGUAACAAGCUUUAUUCUUUUAUAUCUCUAAGUUAAUGUCGCUUUUAUAUUUAUAAGUAAACCCUCAUACAAAUUUACAAGUGGAUGCGGUUGCGUAUAUGGUUGCCAACUUUAGCAAAAUAAAAAAUAAAAUAAGGAACUUUUUAUCACUUAUAUAUUUGUAGAUGCAGAAGAAAUUUUUGUUCAGUAAGCUGGAAGGGAGCCUAAUCCUACAGUGAUCUCUAUUCAAAGAUCAAUCAGUUUGACCAAAGGAAGUUAAUGGCAAGUAGGCUUAGGUAAUUAUUCAUCUAUUAAUUUCAACUUCUUUUACCUAAGUACAUUUCUAUGCAUGCACUUACAUGGGAUUAGGCUUUAUUAGCCGUGAAUCUGUACAUAUAGGCAUAAAUAAAAAUGCAUGAAUUUGGCAAGGAUACAGGAUUGAAGAUUAAUGUGAAUGUAUAUGCGUCAUUCAAAAUAGAAUAAAGAAAAAAAAGGGAGAAAACUAAAUCUGUGACUGCGUAUAUAGCUAUGACACAAAUUUGAAAUGUGAAAUUAAUUCGCGUCUGUAAGACACAUUACCGACGUGAACCUGUAGGUAGACUGCUAGUUAGCAAAUAAUCUGAGCAUGAAAAAAAGGAUUUUUGUAAGGAGUUCUUUUUUGCAGAUUGGUAGGUAAAGUGACUAGCUGUAAUAACGGGUGCUGCAAGUGGCACUGGUGAAGCAACUGCGAGAUUGUUCGUAGAACAUGGAGCACGUGUGGUCAUUGCUGACAUUCAAGAUGAACUUGGUCACCAAGUCGUGUCCUCCAUCGGAACAGACAAGGCCUGCUACCGACACUGCGAUGCAACUGAUGAGAAACAAGUGGAGGAAGCUGUUGCCUAAGUUGUCGAAAAAUAUGGUACCCUCGACAUAAUGUUCAGCAAUGCGGGCACCCUUGGCACUCUUGGGAGCAUUCUCGAAAUGGAUAUGGCGAUGUUUGUGUUAAGGCAAGUGGAGUUUUGAUGAUAGACAUAUGAAUAAAACAUGUUGUGAAAUCUGGUCCAUUCAACUGUACAAAGAAAAGCUGCAAGCAAGGUUGUUGGUAAGAUGAUACUGCGCAUAGACAGGAGUGGAUAAGCAAGAAUAUUCAGGAACCUUCUCAAACACUUAUCACUUCAGUAAAGUGGAAGAAAAAUGCAACAUUCAGAAGUUGAGUUGAUCUAGAAGUCCAACAAUGAGAAGAGUUCUGCAAGGAUAAAGGAUAAAGCAAAAAGUCCUAUUUAAUCAGGGAAGGAGAAACGGCUACAACAAGGAGUGAAGUUACUUAAUAGGGGAAAAAGGAGAAAGAAGCAUAAAUCAACCAGGACUCUAUUACAGGUGGAUCACCAGGGUGCAUAUAUACAACAAAGCAUGAUCAAGUAACUCACUCAAGCACAAAAAAGAAAAUCAACAAUCAGCAUAUCAGUUCACAUACUUGAAGAAGAACCUGGUCUCUUACUUAGCAAGUUGUAGACUUUGUGUAGUAGGUAGGUUCUUUGAGUUGUAAUGAGUCAUUGUUCUAAUCUCAGUGAUCUAUAAACUGAGUUAGGAAUUGUGUCUUCAAGUUUGGGAACUCGAAGACUCGGGAACACUUAUCUUGGGUAGAUUUGUGUUUUUGUAGUGAUAGGAGUUAGAAUUUUUAAUUCCUAGUUUACAAUAAAUCUUGUAAUUCUGUUGAUUAUUGAGGCUCAAGUAUUAUAAUGAAGUUGGGGUUAAAUCCUGUAGAAGUACAGGUCGUGAUUUUUUACACCUUUCUUGAGCCGGGUGUUUUCCACGCAAAAACACUGUGUUCAGUAUUUACUUCUAUGAACCAUGUUUACUUACUUGUUCCACAUAUAGGCAAUUAGUAGAGCUCGUACUCUAACAAGUGGUAUCAGAGAGAGGUUGUCUUAAAUAAGGCUUGUACCUAAGAAAAGAUCAAUAUGAUGAAUUCCGCACCUCCUACUGGUCACAGUGAAGGUCAGUCAACUACUAGAUCUCCACUUUUUUAUGGCUCUAAUUUCAUCUGGUGGAAAGCAAGGAUGAAGAUGUUCAUUCAAGGAGAAGAUUAUGAAUUAUGGGAUAGGAUUACUGAUGGUCCCACUAUUCCAAUGAAGACGACUGAUGGUGAACAAGUCAAGAAAGUAAGGAGUGAAUUUACUCCUGAUAACUUGUUGGCUUUGAAGAAAAAUGCAAAGGCCAAGAACAUCUUGGUUUGUGGACUAGGACCUGCUGAAUACAACAUGGUAUCCACUUGCACUACUGCUAAGAAAAUUUGGGAUGCACUGGUAAAUGCUCAUGAAGGCACUUCUCAAGUAAGAAAAUCCAGGAUCUCUCUACUUUUCACAGAGUAUGAGCCAUUCAAAAUGAAGGAAAAUGAAACCUUGCAUGAAAUGAUGACAAGGCUUACCACUUUAACAAAUGAGCUGACUUCCUUUGGAAAAUUCAUCUAUGAGGAACAACAAGUUAAAAAGGUUCUGAGAGUAUUACCCAAGUCAAAAUGGAUGUUAAGGUGACUGUAAUCAGGGAGGCAAAUAAGGAUCUUGAAGGCAUGACUCUGGAUGAACUAGUAGGGAACUUAAGGACUUAUGAAAUGGAAGUUGAUGGAGUUAAAGAACAAGCAGCUCCUGAGAAAAUCUUAGCAUUGAAAGCUUCUGAUAGUGAUGAGGAAUUUGAACUUGAUAAAGAGCAAGUUGCCUUCAUAACUAAGAGCUUCAGCAAAUUCUUCAAGAAGAAGAAGGUAAUAGGUACUAAGAAACGUUCCAAUGACAAUCCAGAUGGGUGCUACAAAUGUGGCAAAACUGAUUAUCAGAUUAGAGACCGUCUGGUCUGGGAAAUAGAAUGGAAGAACGAAAGGGCUGAAAAGGAACUGAAGGCAAAAAGAAAAGAGGAGCAUGCAAUGAUAGCAGCCUAGGGUUCUGAUUCAGAUGAAGAUGAAGUCAAUGAAACUACAUUCAUGGCCCUUGGGGAUUCAGAUCUGGAUGAAGAAGAUGAGGAUUCUGAGGUAAGUAUACUUGAACUUAAAGAAAACUGAAAUUGUUCUCAAAGCCAAAACUUGUUUUCCUGAUGAGUGCAUUGAUUGAUGAUUUCCAAGAGUUAACCUCUGAUAGGGAUGAAUUGUUCAACAGUUUAACAAGUCUUAAAUUUGAUCUCAUAGAUCUAAAGGCUUGCUCAAAUACAGUUGACAGGGACAAUUGCAGUCACAAGAAACAGGUUGCAGAAUUUGAGAUGUCAAACAACAAUCUUAAGUCUGAAGUUCUCAAAUUAACUCUCACUGAAAAUAGAAAGAAGGCCAUGAGUAAAAAGCACGAAGAUGCUGAACUUGAGCUUUUUAAAUACAAACAAGAAUGCCAUGAUUUAAUUGGAUCUUAAAAGGGAAAAUAGGUGGACAAACUCCUCUAGAAUUGUUCACAAAUUAAGUGAGAAAAAAUUUAAUGAAAAGGCAGGUUUAGGAUUUCACAAAAGUUUUGAUAAUCCAAAAGAUUUGUGUUACAUUUGUGGAAACCUUGGACAUCCCACCACUAAAUGUCCAGUAUCUGCAAAAAGUAGAUUAAACAGUCAAAACCUGACUAACAGAUCUUAUCAGACCAAAAGGAACAAAACCAGUUCUGGUCAAAGAAACAGGUUUCACUACAUGUUGCCUACAUGGACUAGAAGAAUUUUAAUUCAUCCUUUCACUCAUAAACAGGACCCAAGUUUGUCUGGGUUCCUAAGGCUAACCUUUGAAUUCUUUUAUAGGAGAAGGUGAAAGGAAACAAAAGGUACUGGUAUCUAGACAGUACUUGCUCAAGACACAUGACUGGUGAUAAGAAAAAGUUUCUUUCACUCUCCAAAAUAAAUGGAGCAGAAGUUUCUUUUGGUGAUGAAAAAAGGGAACCAUAACUGGAAUUGGAAAGAUUGAUUCAUCUGAAUCAAAAGCAGUGGAGGAUGUCUAUCUUGUAGAAGGAUUAAAGCAUAAUCCGUUGAGCAUCUCACAGCUAUGUAAUAAAGGUAAUAAAGUUGUUUUUACUACUACAGAAGUCAAGGUAAAAAUGAUAGAUACUAAAGAGGUUGUGCUCAAUGCAAGGAGAUAUAAAAAUAUAUACAAAGCUAACAUCAUGGCACUACCAGGACCUGAGAUGACUUGUCUAAGUGCUAUAGAAAAUGAUCCCCUCCUUUAGCACAGAAAACUUAGUCAUGCAAGUCUAAAACAACUAAACAUACUUUCAUCGAAAGACAUGGUAUUGGGAUUACCCAAGACCAAGUUCAAGAAAGAAAUCUAUGUAGUCCAUGUGUAAGGGAGAAGCAGGUAAGAUCCUCUUUUAAGUCAAAGAACCAUGUUAGCACAACUAAGUGCCUUGACCUGGUUCAUGUAGACUUAUGUGGACUCAUGAGACUUCAAAGCAGAGGUGGAAAAAGGUAUGUGUUUGUGAUUGUUGAUGACUAUCCCAGGUUUACUUGGACUUUGUUUCUAGCCUCUAAAGAAUAUGCCUUUGAUGUCUUUGAAAUCUUCAUUAAGAAAAUUGAAAAGAAAUUAGGCACUUCAUUAGUUUUCAUAAGGUCUGACCAUGGUUUAGAAUUUGAGAAUGUUAAAUUCUUGAAUUACUGUUCAACAAACAGUAUAGAUCAAAACUUCCCAGCUCCUAGAACACCACAAUAAAAUGGAGUGGUGGAGAGGAAAAAUAAAACUCUGGAAGAUAUGGCUAGAACAAUGAUGCUUACAGCAAAUAUUGCUAAAAACCUUUGGGCUGAGGCAAUAAGUACUGCAACAUUAUCAUAAAUAGAUGCAUGAUCAGACCUUUGUUAGAGAAGACUCCCUAUGAAUUACUAAAACGAAGAAAGCCCAACAUCUCUCACUUUAGAAUCUUUGGAUAUAAAUGUUUCAUACAUAAUAAUGGAAAGGAUAAUUUGGGAAAAUUUGAUGCUAAAAGUGAUGAGGGAAUCUUCUUAGGCUAUUCACUUCAUAGUAAAGCAUAUAGGAUCUUAAACAACAGAACAAACUGUGUUGAAGAAAUCAUGCAUGUGAUCUUUGAUGAAUCCUGUGUUAAGACUAACCUGCAGAAAGAAAAUGAUGCUGAGGACAGGUUACACAACCCGUUUCAUUAACUGAAGCUACCAAAAUUGAAGGCACUUCAACAGAGGGAACUGAAACUGAAGGCACAGUGACAGGGAGAACUGUGUCACCAACUACCCCAGAACAAAAUAUCAUCAGUGAUCCCAGUAGCUCUCUAGGAUUGGUUCCAAAAGGGUACAAGUAUCAAGGAUCACAUCCUAUAGAAAAUGUUCUCACUGAAUUCACUUCUGGGAUUACUACAAGAUCUAGACUGAGAAGUUUGUGUGCUUUCAAGGCAUUCCUACUAGAAAUAGAGCCAAAGAAGAUAACUGAAGCAUUGCUUGAUGCUGAUUGGAUCAUAGCUAUGCAAGAAGAGCUGAAUCGGUUUGAAAGAAACAAAGUAUGACACUUAGUUCCUCUUCCAAAAGAUAGAUCAGUAAUUGGAACUAAGUGGGUGCAUAGGAAUAAAGUUGAUGAGCAUGGAACAGUUAUAAAAAAUAAGGCAAGGUUGGUGGUCCAAGGAUAUAACCAAGAGGAAGGAGUCGACUUUGAUGAGACUUUUGCUCCUGUAGCAAGACUGGAAGCUAUAAGAUUACUUGUUGUCUUUGCUGCCUACAAGGAGUUUAUACUCUAUCAGAUGGAUGUAAAGAGUGCAUUUCUGAAUGGCUUUCUCAAAGAGGAGGUGUAUGUCAAGCAACCUCCAGGAUUCGAAAGCAAAGAGUUUCAUGAUCAUGUGUAUAAACUGGAUAUAGCCUUGUAUGGGUUGAAAUAAGCACCUAGAGCUUGGUAUGAGAGGUUGUCAAAGUUUUUACUGGAGAAUUAAUACGAGUACGAUCACGUAGAUGAACUUAUGAGGGCAUACGUUAGACCCGAGACUUGGUGUGUGCAAUGAAGUGCAAAUGAGCACCUAAAUGAACACCAAAAUAGUCCACUACAUACACUUAAAGGGCCAAAUCAGUCCACUACAUACACUAGAGGGGUGCCCCUUCACUAAGUGGCCUUUUGGUCAUUUUACCUAUUAUUUGUAAUACACUAUAAAUAGAAUAAUGUAGGGUUUCAUUAGGAUAUUUUGAUGAAUAUUAUGAGUUUAUAACACUUGAAACAUUUCCUCUCUAAGGAGAGAAGACCACCAACCCGAAAUUGUAACUAGGGAAAUCACUUGAGUGUGGAAUCGCUCGUGUUGGAUUCAAGCUUGGAAACGUUAGAUGCUUGGGAGAUCAGGGUCACUCUUAUGCCAACGUAAGAGUUAGGUAGUUGAUGUGUGUGAUGUUAAAGGUCCAAGAGUGGAAUAGGAUUUUGGGUUGUUAAUGUUAUACUUUCAAUUUGUCUAACUAUCUAUCAUUUUGUUUCUUUGUAAUCAUGCAGUAGUGUUGAUGUUGUAACCGUGUGUUUGUGUUGUUAAUGUGGAACCCAAAAUUAGUCUAUUUUUCAUCUUGUUCUUGUUGUGUUUCUAUUGUUUUGGUGUUAUUACGCCCUUGUGCCUUGUAUUCUUCUUAUUGGUAACGAAUCUGAGAGGGGUCACCAAAAGAGGUCCUCAGUUUCUUGGCUAGUGGACUAAUUUUGGUGUUUGUUUUGUGUUUCCUUAUCUUUCUUAUAUUAAUAAUGGACAUACCAUAGGUAAAAUUUAUAAUACCCUUUUCUUGAAAACAAUGGGGAGGAUUUGUUAGUUGUGCAGGUGUAUGUGGAUGAUAUUAUUUUUGGCUCAACAAAUAUGAGUAUGACUUAUGAGUUUGCCAAACUCAUGAGUUGUGAAUUUGAGAUGAGAAUGAUGGGAGAGCUGAAUUACUUCUUGGGUUUGCAAAUAAAGGAGUCAGCUUCAGGGACAAUGAUUCACCAACAGAAGUAUGUCAAAGAGCUUCUCAAGAGAUUCUCCAUGGAAGAGGCAAAAGAGAUAAGUACUCCUAUUGCAACUGCCAUAAAGUUGGAGUUGAAUGAAACAGGUUCAGAUGUAGAGCAAAAGAUGUAUAGAGGUAUGAUUGGGUCAUUAUUGUACCUCACAGCAAGUAGGCCUGACAUUGUGUACAGUGUAGGGUCAUGUGCCAGGUUUCAAGCAAAACCUAAAGAAUCACAUCUAAAAUCUGUGAAGAAAAUCUUCAGAUACUUAAAGGUAACCAGUGAUCUUGGCUUAUGGUAUCCCAAAGGUAGUAACUUUAAUCUGAUAGGUUACUCAGAUGCUGAUUAUGCAGGAUGUUUGGUGGACAGGAAAAGCACUACAGGAAUGACACACUUUCUUGGAUCAUGUUUGAUUACCUGGUCUACUAAGAAGCAAAAUUCAGUUGCUUUGUCUACUGCUGAAGCUGAGUAUAUUGCUACAGGAUCCUGUUGUGCUCAAUUGCUAUGGAUUAAGCAACAACUCAUGGACUUUGGUAUAGAUGUUGGUUGUGUUCCUAUUUUUUGUAAUAAUUCAAGUGCUUGUAACAUAGCUAAAAAUCCUCUUCAACAUAAGAGAACCAAACAUAUGGAUAUUAGACAUCACUUUAUUAGAGAUAAUAUUGAAAAAGGUCAUAUAUCCAUUAUGUUUUAUUCUACUAAGGAACAGAUUGCUGACAUUUUCACUAAGGCCUUGAGUAGAGAACACUUUGAAAAAAUUAGGUUAGCCUUGGGGAUGAUUAAAUUUGCAUAAGUCCCCCUCAAUGCUUGACUAGAAUAUUUUGAUUUUACAAGUGAUUGUUGGUUAAUUCAGUCUCACACAUUAAGUUGUGUAUCCUAAGUCUAAGAUUUUAGAGUAUGUUGACUCAUGUGUGUGUUGAUUUUGCAGAAAGCUUUGAUCACAGAAGCAAUUUUGUCUAUUUUGUCAUUCAAGUAUGAUUAUUAUUACUUCAAAGUAGCUUAAAGAGAAACAAGUUGUUUUCCUGGUUCAUUCUUGGUUCAUUUAAACCGCCAAAAUAAAAGAGUCCCUUCCUUUACAAAAAGUUGUCACUUUCUUUCCCAUUAGAACUGUAACACUCAUUAUUACUCCUUUGUCAAAUACAAUCCCUCACCUUUUAAACUUCUUCAUCCUUUUCUUUUAAAUACGCUUUCGUUUGUCUUGAUUCUACACUACAAAUUAUUUGCACCCUCCUCAUACUCAAGAACACUUUCCUGGUUCAAAAAUGGCAUCAUUUUCUUCAUCUUCCUCUUCUUCUUCUUCCUCCUCCACUAAAUCUGUUCCAAAUCACUUCACCGCACUUAUCUUUCAUCCAAAUAUCACCUUACCUCUCUUAAUUCCUCCUUCAAUCUCCCAAAAAUUCACCGAUUUUGCUGCUUUCAGAAAUUUUCCAAACCCUUUUGCCCAAAUUUCGUCACCUUUUCCAUUCUCUUCGAAACCCCUCCUUCCCCCUCCUAUCCCACUCCAAAUUAUUAAAGCUGAUGAUAAUCCUAGUGACAGAGACGACCUUCCUAUCGCAGAGCUAUUCCCAAGAAGGUACAGGUCCAAGCUCUUAAGAAAACCCCUUUCUAUUUCCGUCAUUGUUGACAACACUGGCUCUCCAGAACUUUCUCCAAAUGUCUCUAUCCCUCAUACUUCUCAUACUCGAGGAAGAAAACAACGAGAAGAUACAUGCAUUCUUGGCCGAGUCUCUUCGAGCCAGCAAAAAAAAAAUGUGUGGCUACAUUUGAUCCCACCUCUCCUCAUGCAUCUUCUCCUGAUCUUCUACUUUGAUCUGUCAGAAAGACAAAAACCAUCACGCCCAAAGUUCUAAAAACCUCAUUGCCCACGAAACCCUCUUCUAAACCUACUCAAAAGACCUCCUCCUCUUAAAAAAUUCUUUCUACUGUCAAAGGAUCCUCCUUCUCAAAAGUUUCCCCUUCCAAGCCUUCUACUUGUCCCAAGAAACAGGUUACCCUACCUGUUUCUUCUGACUCAUCUGACUCUGACUUUACCCCAGAUGUUACUGAUGAGUUGGAACCUGAGUUUGAAGUUCCCCACUUAUCUUCUCUUCAAGAUACUCCUGAGGCUCAUCAUCUUCACUUUCAAAAGUGAAAAUUAUCUAGAAGGAGGGUAGUUAGUGGUUUUGGAGGACCUAAUAUGCAAGUGUUACUGGAUAAAUUGGAGUUUCAAGGUUGGUCACUUUUAUUUCUUCAGGUUGAUCUUCAGCGUAGAUUUGUUAAACCUGAAGUAUGUGAGUUUUACACGAAUGGGGUGGGAAUUGGUGAAUUGUUCUCUACUAUUGUCAGAAAGGUUACCAUGAACCUUUAUGUUGCUGACAUUGCUAGGAUUUUACGUAUUUCCUCUGGGGGGUGGGGUCACUACGUCAAGGGUGUUUGGUCUCCUCUGGAUAAUCUUGCCUCUGCCCUUGACAUAUGUAGAAAGUUUUCUGAAAAUCCUAACUUGCUCCACCAUAAAAGAGUCCUUAAGAGGGAGAUGUCCCCACUACAUCAACUUUAUUUUAAUUUGGUCCACAAAAUGAUUAUUCCUAGAAAGGAGAGACGGUGUGUGGCAAGUUUGCUUGAUCUUACACUCAUGGAGCUGUUGGAUACUGAAGUACGAAUUGAUCUGCCUCGACUCAUACUAAAGCAUAUGCAAAGGGUUCUAAUCAAGGAAGUGAAUGAACAUGCUCUACUUUAUCAAUUCUGGCUCACCCUCAUAUUUGAGGACUUUGGUGUUUCUGUUCAAGUGUGGUCUUCACAGACUACCAAAGAUAUCAUAGGGCAUAUGAACCAUAUGAUGCUACCUGUUUCCAUGAAGAGUGCUGAUAAUCCCAUGCAACGAUUGAGAAAUUCAUUGGUUGAGAAACAAGCUGAGGUGGAAAUUGCUCAGGCAGCUUUGGAGUCUACACAGGCUGCUUAUGAAGAAGAAAAAGGGAUCCUCCAUGCUCAAAUUGCUUCCCUUAAUUCCUUGUUGGAAAAAGAGAGAGUUGAAAAUGCAGAUGUUAUUAGAAAACUCACCUCUCUUAUUCCCUCCUCUUCUUCUACUUAGCCUCUUCAUUGAUAUCUUAAGCCUAUCUCCUUUUGUUCCUUUUCCUGACAGUUUGUUCUCUCUUAGUUUACUUUUUGAUAUAUGUAGUCAUCUCUACAAAUGAAUGAACUAGGCUUAGUUGUUUUACUGUUUUCUGUUCCUGUUUUCUCAUAUUGCAUUCAUGUUCUCUUAUUCUGAAUUUUGAUUAUCUUAGUGAUAGCCUCAAUGAAUUAUUAGACAUUUUUCACUUGUUGAUUUAGCUUUUCGAUGAUGUCAAAAGGGGGAAGAGUAGGCUAUGCAAUGCUUAUAACUCAAUGACUAACCUAUUUCAUUCUAUGCUAGUUUUUAUUCAAAUGCCUUAUUGAGUAUGUCAGGGGUCUGUGAUGUUGUGCUGCUAUGUUUGUCCUGCUAUGUUUGUCAUCAUCAAAAGGGGAGAAUUUAUUAAGGCAUAUGGAGUUUUGAUGAUAGACGUAUGAAUGAAACAUGUUGUGAAAGCUGGUUCAUUCAAGUGUACAAAGAAAAGUUGUAGGCAAGGCUGUUGGUAAGAUGAUACUGCGCAUAGACAAGAGUGGAUAAGCAAGAAUAUUCAGGAACCUUCUCAAACACUUAUCACUUCAAUAAAGUGAAGAAAAAUGCAACAUUCAGAAGUUGAGUUGAUCUAGAAGUCCACAAUGAGAAGAGUUCUGCAAGGAUAAAGGAUAAAGCAAAAAGUUCUCUUUAAUCAGGGAAGGAGAAACGGCUACAACAAGGAGUGAAGUUACUUGAUAGAGGAAAAAGGAUAAAUAAGCAUAAAUCAACCAGGACUCUAUUACAGGUGGAUCACCAGGGUGCAUAUAUACAACAAAGCAUGAUCAAGUAACUCACUCAAGCACAAAAAAGAAAAUCAACAAUCAGCAUAUCAGUUCACAUACUUGAAGAAGAACCUGGUCUCUUACUUAGCAAGUUGUAGACUUUGUGUAGUAGGUAGGUUUUUUGAUUUGUAAUUAGUCAUUGUUCUAGUCUCAGUGAUCUAUAAACUGAGUUAGGAAUUGUGUCUUCAAGUUUGGGAACUCGAAGACUUGGGAACACUUAUCUUGGGAAGAUUUGUGUUUUUGUAGUGAUAGGAGUUAGGAGUUUUAAUUCCUAGUUUACAAGAAGUCUUGUAAUUCUGUUGAUUGUUGAGGCUCAAGUACUAUAGUGAAGUUGGGGUUAAAUAUUGUAGAAGUACAAGUCAUGAUUUUUUACAACUUUCUUGAGCCGGGUGUUUUCCACGUAAAAACACUGUGUUCAGUAUUUACUUCUGUGAACCCUGUUUACUUACUUGUUCCACAGAUAGGUAAUUAGUAGGGGUCGUACUCUAACAGUUUGACAGGACAAUGGCGGUCAACACACGCGGAUCAGCAUUAGCCAUGAAGCACGCGGCUAGAGCGGUUCCAUCAUAUGUACCGCAAGCAUAGAGUUGAUUCUGGCUGGUGCAGCUCCAUUAGCCUAUGAGGCGUCAAACCACGCCAUUCUAGGCGUGGCAAAAGCCACGGCUCGCGAGCUGGGGCAAUAUGGAAUUAGGGUGAACUGUGUGUCGCCUUAUGGCAUCGCUACGUCAAUUGUAUGCAAAACGUAUGGCUGCGAUGCUGACCCCCUUGAAUCUUCAAUAACUGGACAUGCUAACUUGAAAGGUGGUUACAUUGAGCACGAAACACAUCGCAGAAGCAGCACUUUUUUUGGCGUCGGAUGAAUCGGCUUAUGUUAGUGCUCAUAAUUUGUCUGUCGAUGAUGGACUCAGCUCAAUUAUGCAAUUGAAGUAAAUCUACUUGUUAGUGAGUGCAAUUCACAUUUACUUAAUAAAUGCCAAGAGGGAAAAGAAUAUCCCCACUUUCUCCAAUUUAAGUAAGCCCGAGAUGGUGUCUUGGGAAUUUACCUUUGAAUCGAUGACUAUUCUGACUUUCUUUGAUUAUAUCCAAAUUUAAUGAUAAUAUAUUACUUGUAUACUUCCUCCCUUCAUUUUAAAGAUUAGUUUGACUAAUCUUUAAAGCUAAACUAAAUUAAAUAUUUUAAGUGUCAUUGCAACAAAAGAUCCGAUGGUUUGUUUCCCUAAUUCUUUAGCGGUGAGCAAUCUUGAUUUCAUCAAGGGGUUCAUACCAACUUUAGUGUCCUGACAUUAUCUUUCAACCUCCAUGGAGUUUUGGUAUUCUUAGUUAGCCAGUUAAUUAGAAGUAGAGAGCUACAUUCAAUUUUCAACUUCUAGAACUCUUUCUUAAUGCACCACAUGAUUCCAGUCUUCACGGUCAGAAGUUUCAGCAAAGCUUCUAGUCUCAAUGCCAAGAGGCAUAUUACAUAAGCCACUAUGAUCAUGCCAUUCGUAUUUCUAAUAAUUUCUCAACCCCUCACUUGUCCCUAAAUUACCUUUGAAGCAUCCAUUAUUUGAAUUUAUGUUAGUCCAUCCAGUGGGAGGUAGACUCUGAUCCGUUUGACUUGGAUGACAUUUAUCGCCAGAUUAAUUAGUGUUGUCCAUAAGCCGAGGAGAUGAUUCCAUUUCAUAAAUGUUGAAUGAUGGAAUUGUUAUUGAAUAAUGAAAUUAACUUGUUAUUUUUUGGCUAAUAUUCAUGAAAAUGAUUCUAUUAGAUGGCAUUCCGACAUAUUCGUCAAAUCGUUCUUGAAGAAAUUCCACUUUCCUCUUUUCAUUUUCUUUCUUAUGUGCGUUUUGUCUUUUCAGUUUGCUUUGUUUUUGUUUCUUGGUUUUUUCUGAUUUCUUUUAUUGGGCUUCGAUCUGCCUGCACACAUUUUUACCAAUAAAAUUAGGAUAAACACCAUAAAUUUCGAUACUUUCAAGUUUAGUUAUAGAAAAUUUUACUAUUUCGCAUAAUUACAAAAAAAUUUAACUUUAAAUCUGUCGAGAUACAUAAUUAGCUUCCGAUACAUCCAACAGAGAUACAUAAUUAAUUGAAAUUUUUAUAAUUACUUUGUAAAAAUAGAAUUUGUGGAAAUAUGAUAAUUUAAGAUACAUAUUUGUAUUACUUUUCCAUAACAUUAGCCAUUUGGCCUCUUCGAUUUAAAAUAAAAAAAAAAAAGGUAGGAAGGAGGACCAAUAUGAAAACAAGGAAGAAACCAAGGCCUUAUGGUUAUAUCUAGUACUAAUAAUUAAAGCAUAUUUUUUUUGGUUUUCCAUCCGGUGUCCGUAUUGGAGCCCCAACUAAUUCGGAUCACGUGUUGCAGGGCCCAUUAAGGAGGCGACGCUCCCAACAGAGUUUUCUUCAUACCCAGGGUCGAACCCUCGACCUUUGGUUAAGGGUGGAGUAGCCUUAUCCACUGCACCACAACCCAUGUUGGUGCCUAAUAAAAUAUUUUUGGUUGGAACAAUGACGGAAAAGUCAUUUUGUUUAAAGUUUCCUUAAAUAUUUAGUAAUUUUAAACUUUUAAUUUAUACUACUAGUUUUGAAAAUUUUCAAAUAAGGAUACUAAUUCAGUCACUUAAUUUAAAUAAUCAAAAAAUCUAAAAUGUCAUAUUUUAGAAUAAAUUAUCAGCCACUCAAAUGUAAAUUCUCAAGAAACAUGUUUGGAUGUAGUACAAGUGAAGAAAAUAUAAAUACUUCUUUUUCAAAAAAAAAAAAAACAAUAUAAAUACUCACUCCGUCUUUUUUUUAGCUGUCAAGUUUUCUAAAUAUAAUUGUUCCUAAAUACUUGUCAAUUUAAAAGAUUAAGAGAUGAUUAAUUUUUUUUUCCAACUUUGUUCUUAAAAUUAAUUAUUCAAGGGCAAUAGAUAAAGAUUAAAGAAUUGAUAUGGAAUAUAUUUGUCAAAUUACAAUCAUAAUUAAUUUUUUAAGGAUAGUAUAAAGUUUUAUCAUGAUGACUAAAAAGUUAGGUAAAUGUAUUUUCGCCUUCAACUAUUGUGACGACUCACCAAUCUAAUACUCAAACAAACACUAGCAACGGAUACCCGAGCUUAAGUGGAUUUCCCCUCCUAGGGGUUUCUAUAAACUCAACACGGAUGGCUCCAACUUGGGAAAUUCAAAAAAAGGAGGUAUAAGGGGAGUCAUUAGAAACUCUAACGGGGACUGGGUUAUGGGGUUUUUUCAAAGUUUCACGUGCACUACCAAUAAUUUUAUGGAGCUUAGGGCAUUUAGAUUAGGUCUUAAGCUGGUUUUGGAGCACAGCCUAUGCCCCAUUCAAAUUAACAUUGAUUCUAUGGAGAUCAUACAAAUACUUACUAAACUAAAGGGUACCUACUCUAUAACCCUAUUAUUGAUGAAUGUAGGUUGCUCAUUGCAAGACUAGGAGGCCCACCUGUUCACCACAAUUACGGGGAACAGAACAAGAUAGUCAAUGUCCUAGCAAAGGACGGAGCCAAGCGGGAUGUUUUUGAAUCAAGUCACACAUUUGGAACUCCUCCAUCAUUUGUAGUCCAAACAGUUUAGGCAGAUAUGGAAGGAACAGGUGUUCCUACAAAUAUUUCCCCCUGAACUUUAUUAGACAUCGCUCUUCAAUUUCUGUAUUGGAGUCAGACUAAGGCUCUAAACCGUCUUCCUUUUUUGUUUUCUUAUAUUAUUACAGGUCUCGUACAACAACAAAAAAAAAAUACCCGAGGACAACCCUUUUUGCUGAUCCUGUGGAUCCAAGUGGACCAAUGAUAAUAUGUGUUUACUUUUAGGACCAAAAAAAAAAUAGAAGAUUUACAUUUUGAAUUGUUGUUAUAUUGUUUUAUAAUGUGUUGAUGUAAAUAUUUUUAAUUUCCUCGUGUAACUAAUGGGUAGACCAACCAAUCUAUACCCUACAAAACACUAGAAAGGCUCUGUGAGGACAACGCCACAAUGACCCCCCCUUUUUCAUCACGAUCUACUCUUUACUGAUCCAACUGGACCAAUGGUGAAUGACACACUUGUUUAUUUGGUGUUACAUAUUACUCAAUAAUGUGUUUAUCAUUUUCUUUCAUUAUAUAAUGUCGUACAUUAAAAAAAUUUAAAAAUAAACUUACAAUAAAAAAAUAAGGUAUAAGGUAAAGUGGUCAUAAAAAGAAGGGAUAAUAAAACAUAAAAUAGGGUUAUAUAAUAAGACUUUACUCAUCGAUAUGACUCUAAACUUGUUUUGAAAUUUCACUUGAAUCCUUUAACUCAGACUUGUACCUAUCAGACCCCUAACCUACCCAAAAUUUAAAUUAUUUGAAUAUUUUUUAAUCAAUCAACUAAAGGUAUGAAACGAGUUCAACACACUUGCGAUGACAUGACAAACUAAUGAAUAAAAUGGUGACAUUUAGAAUUAAAUUCGAAAAUAGUUAAAAAGUAUUUCUUAACUAGUUAAAUUAUAAGUAAAAAAUAAUUAUAACUUUUUUUUUUAAAAAAAAAAACAGCCCCUAAACACCCCCCCCCCCUGCCCCACCUAUUCAUAAUUUGCAUUUUUGACCAAAUCAUCUUCAUCUUCAUGACGUAUUAAAUUCAAUCAUGCAUGCUGGUUGUUUUAACGCCCCCCACCCCCUCCCUUCAUCUCCAUUUUUGUUGUAACCCGUCAUUCGCCGUAACCCGUCAUUCAUCAUAGGACUCAAAAAACCUUCGGCGUAACUCAAUUUUUUCUAGUAAAUUCUUCCUCUUAUACAAUGACAAAUAAGAUAAGAAGAUAACUCAAAAUGGAUUGAGGAAAAUAAAAUAGUUUGUUGCAUUAUGAAAAUACCAUUUUAAUUUUUAUUUUUGAAUCAAAUUUACAAUUUUGUUGAUUUGUAAAAAAAAAUUACAUUUUUUCGAUAAGUUUCUAUUUUUUUCGGCAAAGUCCCAUUUUUUUAUAUUUACAUCUAAAUUUUUUGACAAACUUAUUGGAUUUACAUUUUAAUUAGAGUGGCGAUGUUUAUUUGGAGGUAGUCGAAAAUAGAGAUGAAAGAAUGACGGAAAAGAAUUAAGAAUAAAAUCGAACAAAAAACAAAAAAAAUCAAAAUUGAAUUCAAACAUAAAUUCAAAACUAAGAAGAGUAAGAAGAAUUAAGUUUUCUUUAAAAAAAAAAGAGUAAGAAGACACCGGGAAGAAGAUGAAGGAGGGCGAGGGGGAGUAGGUGUGGGGGUAGAGAUAUUUAGGUUUAGUUUUUUUUUUUUUUUGAAAAAAGAAAAAAUUAUUUCGCUUAUAAUAUUUUGGGGUCAUCAAUGCCAUUUGUCAUCUUUUGAUUUGUGAUUUGAUAAAAAAAAGAUCUAGGUGAAUCAAAUUUUAGGAUGAAUUAGGGAUCUGAUAGGUACAAGUCAGAGUUGAAGGGUUCAAAGUGAAAUUUCAAAAUAAGUUUAGAAUUCUAUCGAUAACUUAAGCCUAAUAAUAAAGGCAAAAUGAGAAAAAAAAAAAAAAAUAACAUGUAAUCACACUAAAUCAAUUGUUAUAUGUAAUGCAUGGAUGGGUUGUAUUGUCUUCAACAUGAAAGCGUAAGAACUAAACGGGAUUCCCUUCUUUGUUUGUUUGAUUCGAAAAAAAUGUAAGAAACAUGGUAGGAUUAUUUUUAAAAAGUAAGAUAGGGAAUAAAAUAUAAAAUAAGAUUAUUAGUUAAACAUAAUGAGAUUUUAUUUUAUUUUAUUUUUUUUAAAAAAAAAGAUAAAGUAACAAUGCAUCACUAAUUGGUAAACAAAUUGAGACUUUUCAUUGGUGCAACCAUUUAUUAACACAAUAAACUACGACAGUAACAACCUUCCCAAACAAGUGGAUUUACUUUAAUCUAGCCUCAUAAUUGCACUAAGUCCACCAUCGACAGCUAAAUUUUGACCACUAAUAUAAGCCGAUUCCUCCGACGCGAAGAAUAGCGCGGCUUCCGCUAUAUGCUUCGUGGUUAGGCUAACACCUUUCAAGUUAGCAUGUCCACCUACUGAAGUUUCAAUGUAAGAGGCUUCAGCCCCAUAUGAUUUACAAACCAUCGGCGUGGCGAUGCCGAAAGGCGAUACACAAUUCACUCGAAUUCCAUUUUUACCCAGCUCACGCGCCGCGGCUUUCACCACGCCAAGGAUCCCAUGCUUCGACGCAAUGUAGGCUAAUGGAGCCGCACCAGCUAGGAUCGACUCUACACUUGCGGUGCAUAUAAUUGAGCCGCGGAUGUUUUUAGCUACCAUGACUCUAGCCGCGUGCUUCACGGCUAAUGCCGCUCCACGCGUGUUAACAGCUAUUGUCAAGUCAAAUUCCUUCACAUCCAUAUCGAGUAGGCUUCCGAAUGUGCCGAGCAUGCCAGCGUUACUGAACAUGAUGUCGAGGGUACCGUAUUUUUCGACAGCAUAGGCGACAGUUUCCUCGACUUGUUUCUCGUCAGUUACGUCGCAGUGUCGGUAGCAAGCUUUGUCUGUUCCAAUGGAGGACACGACUUGGAGGCCAAGUUCAUCUUGAAUGUCAGCAAUGAUCACGUGGGCCCCAUGUUCAACGAACAGUCUUGCAGAUGCUUCACCAAUGCCACUUGCAGCACCUGUUAUUAUAGCAAUUUUCCCCUCUAACCUGGUGCCACAGAAAAAAAAAAUCAUAUCAAUAAUUAGAUGUACAAGCUAAGGUUUAAUAGACCUUGUAUAAAAUGCAAGAUUAUUUUCUCAUGCAUUUUUUGGAGGUAUUAGUUAAUCCAACGAUUAUUUACAGUAUUGUGAUGAAAUAAGUUAUCAUAUACAUGUUGACAAUAAAUUUCAAAAUAUCUCAAAAUAAUUGAUCUUGAAGUAACUUAUUUCCGACCAAACGACCUCUAAGUACUAUAACGUGAAGAAUCUAAAUCGAUUGGGCAAGAGUAUCUGACCCUCUAACCUUUUGCCACAAAUUUUUAUUUUAAGUGCAUAUAUAUAAAAAAGAAAAUGGAAUACAUGUGUACACUAGAGACGUCUUGCUGGUGAUGAAAAGAAAUUGAAAUUGAAUAUAGGAAUUACCUGAGCUUAUUUGCCAUUGGAAGACAAGCAAUUUUAUUGCCGCGACGCCGCCGGUGACUUGAUUUUUUGGGGUUUCUUCUAAUUUUCCGACCAAACAAUUGUGUUGGAUCUACAAAUAUAUAUAUAUAUAAUAGACUACAAUGCCUGGCCCUUUUUUUAUCAUUUAAAAAAAAUAAAAAAUUUGAGUCUAUGAAGUACUAGAGUCUAAUUUAGAGCAUACUUAGCAGGUUUACUUUUGUAAAAUAGGUAUUAAUACAUACUUUAUUAAAGGGGUGUUAAGUCAAUAUGGAGAGAGUACUAAGUAUUUUUCUUCUGUAACCCCUUAUAGAAAGUAUUAACUAAAAAGAUUAUUUGGUUAAAUUUAUUUUAUUUAUUAUUGAAUUUUAAUUUAAUAAUACUUUCUUUCUCAUGGUCUAAUCACUCUUCACAUAUACUCCUUAAGUACCGGUAAAGGUAAAAGAAACUAGUGAUAAAUAGAUAAAUAGCUACUCAUGCGUUUAGAUUUCUUUCUCUUUAUUUAACUUGACACAAGAUUAAAGAAAAUAAAGAAAUUUUUUAAUCUUAUCAUAGUAAAUUGAAAAAAAGAAAAUAAAGAAAUUUUUUAAUCUUGUACUAUUAAAUUAAAGAAAAGAUAUUGUAUUUAAAGAAUUACCAAAUUAGAAAACAAUCAUUCAUUUUUAAAAAAUAUAUUUUAAUUUAUAUGAUACACUUUUCUUUUUAGUUUGUCCCAACAAUAAUAACUUAUUUCAUUCUUAUAGGAUAAGUUAUAGCCGUUCAAAUAUUAUUACUUAUUUUAGACCAUACAUUUUUUUAUGCAUUAAUUCAAACUACAUCACAUGAAUAAAACAGGAGUAAUAGUUUCAGUUAACUGUACCUUGAGCUACGCAAAAAAAAAAAAAAAAACAUGGGAAGAGAGCGGCAAUAAUACAGGGAUCCACAUAUAAUUGUUGGCAAAUCUGAGACAGUCAAAACUUAAAAAGGCAUGAAAUACGCACUAGCUUUAGACAAAUUAUCAGUAACAGUAUUUUUUUCAAAUAAAAUAGGAACUAUUGUUUGCUUCAACCACAAGUUCACAUCCAUGAUCUUAUAAAUUAUAGUGGGAGUGGUAUUUUUUAAAGCUACAGUAAGUCUAAUAGUCAAACUUAUGCUGGAUGCAGUUAUGGACAUUUAAUAGGCAAAGUAUGCACAUGGAUUACUUAAUUAAAGUUUGGCAGGCUAUAAUUAUAUCAAAAUCUAAUUGAUUUUAAUAAUAAUAAUAAUAAUAAAGUAUUUCAUUCGUUCCCAAAUAAGUGAUCGAUUAGCUUGGACACACCCCUUAAAAACAACUACACAAUAUAUUUUUUACUAAUUUAUACUUAAUAAAUACCUUGAAAUAGAUGCAACUUUUUAUUAGUUUCUUAGAUUAUAAGACCCAAUAAUAAAUCCAUUUAGGUUGUUGAAAUUGUGUAAAGACGUAAUUCACGUUAUUAGUCAUGCCUAGCCUCUCAAUUAUCCAUAAAUAUGCAAUGUGUUGUUAUUAAUGAUCAUAUUUUAAAACAGGGGCAGAGAUAAGGAUUUUUUAUUAGGCGGUUCAAAAUCUGAAGAAAAAUUUAUUGAUGGGGGUUCAACAUCUAGAAUAUAUAAAUAAAAAUUAUUUUAAUCAUGUAUUAAUAAUAUAAGUUUUUAUCGAAGGAGGUUCGUCUGAACUUCUCUUUAAUAGGCUAGCUCCGCCUCUGUUUUAAAAAGCUUUUUGGAUGCGGAGCUUAGUGAAAAUACAUAGGAGAUGAUUUGUAGAGGCGAAAGUAUCAUGAGGUGGGGUGUAAGCUUCAUCAGUAUGGACGAACGUUAUUUUAAGUGUUGGAGGAGUUUUUAUUAUGAAGAAUAAGCCCAAAACCUUUCGCCUAAUUAAAACUAAAAUUAUGGACUAAGUCUUUUAAAUUAAUACUCAUUACUAAAGAAACACGAAAUUUAAUUUGCUAUUAAGUUAAAAUUAAAAUAUUAUUGAAUCUCAGUCCUAACUUUUAUUCUUUAUCUUUGUCUUUUACCAAAUUAAGAAAAAAUGAUUGAUAUGAAAUUUGCAAAUAAAAAUACAUCAUUCUUUAUCAGGUGCUUUGAUAUAUACUUCUAAUUGUAAAUUUCUUUUCCACUUUUUCUUUAUCUUAAUUUAUAAAUUUUUAACUUGUGUGCUCAAGUCAAUUAUUAAUAUGUAAUUUAAGUUUAUUUCUGAUUUUGUGGUGCAUAUAAGUUAACUAGAUAGAGUAGAUUGUGCCAAACUGUCAGUACGGAUUCAAUGUAUGUUCCUUAGAGGUCUGUAUCGAUAGGUUUGGUUCGAUUUUAUAAAUUAUCGAUUUGAUUUAUCGAUUUUUGAUUUUCAAUUUUUAAAUGUACUAAACCAAUAACCAAACCAAUAAGAUAUUUUUUAUCGGUUUUCGAUUUAUCGGCUUUUGAUUUAUCGAUUUUUAAUCCUUAAUGGUUCGGUUUUCGGUUUAACCGAUAAGAAAAUACUCAUAAAAUAAAAAUAGUAGUAACUAACAUGAAAAAAAAAUGAAUUUUAGUUACAACCAAAAAUCCUAAAUGAUGUGUUUUAAUUUACAAGAAUCUUCAAGUUUAGACUAAAUGUUGUUAGAAGAAAUUAAGAGUUUGUAUAAUUGAAAUAACAAGUGUUUUAAAUUUGUAGAAAUUAAAGAGGAAUUAAGAGAAAUAUAUAAUAAGUCAUAUAUAUAUAUACACACACAUUCUUAUUGGGUUAUCGGUUUACCCAAUAACCCAAUAAGAAGAAAUCAAAUCGAACCAAUAACUCAAUAAUUUUUUUCUAUAAAAUCAUUAAAAAACCGUUAACCCAAUAACAAUAAACCAAUAACAUUUUUAUCGGUUCGGUUUAUCGGUCGGUUUGAUUUUUGCACACCUCUAAUGUUACUUAAUUUUAAUUUAUGUGACACAGAUGAAAGUUGAAAAGUCAAUCAAAUUUUUAAAUAAUUUUUAGAUAUUUUAAUAGAGUAUUUUUACAUAAUUUUCAGAUACUGUAUGUUACUUUUUUUGUUUCAACUUGUGUGACAUUGAUAAAAUAUUUGAGAACGUCAAUCAAACUUAUUAUAUAAUUACUAUAUAUUUUAAGCUGUUAAUAUUAUGUUUUAUGCAACUUUCUAUAUAAAUUCUCAAUUUAUAUGACAUUGAUAGAAUUUGAAAAGUCAAAUCACCUUUUAUACCUUCAAAUAUUUUAAUUUAUUAAUUAUUGUGAUUUAUAUUACUUUUCACGAUAUUCUUUAAUUAUUUAAUUUGCUCUAUCUCAAUUUAUGUUGCACCGAUAGAAUUUUGAGUCAACCAAAUUUUUUUAUGUGUCUUGAAACAAUUUAAAUUGUUAAUAAUUAUAAUUUAUAAACUUUUUUUCACAAUUUUUUUAAAAACAUAUAUAUAACAUAUUAAAAAGAAAAAGAAAAUAAUUAAAAUAAAACUAAAAAUAUAAAAUUAUAAAAACACUCUCAAUCAGAAGCAGACGAUCGAAAAUAGACAUGACAACCGCUGUCUGCCCACUCUCGCUCAAAUAUUGUGGACAGAGGCAUUAAGGUUUAGGGACCCAAAAAAACGUGUUUUAAAUAGUUGCUCCAUUUCUAUUAUGAUUGACUGAUUGAUUGUGGCUUGUGGGAGGAAAAGAAGCUCACAACUUUUUUCAUUUCUCAAUAUGAAUUNNNNNNNNNNNNNNAAAGAAAAAAAAAAGGUUAUAAGGUGACGAACGCAAUUAAUUAAGCUAUUAAGUUUUUUUCUUAGUUGACAAUCUUUCUAUUUAUUCUAUCUUAUUUAUAUUCUUAAUUUCAAUUUGAUUGAUCUGUUUUUUAUUUAGUCACUUUUUUGUUUCAUGUGCAGCUUUCGCGAAGGAAACAAAGUUGCAGACAAAUUAGCGGCGUACAGUGAUAUUCACAAAAGAAAAAGCUCAUAUAUAUUCACUGCUUUUGUGAAUCUUCCAAAGGAAUGCAGGGGUCUAGCAAGAUUAGAUAAAUUAAAAAUGGUGUCAUUUAGAGUCAGACAAUUGAAAUAUAAUAUAGGAAAAUUGGUUUUGAUCCUCCCUAGUAGUUUCAUUUGUAUUAGGAAAUUUUGUAAUGUUGGCUAUGUAACAAAGACGUUGGCCUGUCGACCUCUCAAAGUAGAUGAGCAGGACUCCAAGCCUACUCAACAGUGUACAUUUCUUCGUACAUGAAAAGUACCACGAAUUUUUUUUUUUUUUAAAAAGAACACACACAAAAAAAUUCAAUAUACAAAUAAAAAAAGUUUAAUAAAAAUGUUUUACCGUGCAUUUAGCUCAAUUAUAAAACAUCAUAUUAGUAAAGAAAGGAGAAGAAGAAACAUGCUUCGGAGUUUCUUUCUUUCUUUCUUUAUUUUAAAUUUGAAAUUAAAAUUAAUUCAAAUGGUAUAUAUAUGAUGGUAGGACUCGGGACUCAGGACUCCGGACCAUUAAAAAAGAAAAGAAAAACAGUGUGAUUGACAUUUGACAAUAAGAACAUGUAUGAUUCAACCAACGUUCUUAAUACUCUUGCAAGGACCAAAUUGUUCCCCAUGAGGAUGACAAAAAUCAAAAACUUUUCAUUCUUUCUUAUAUAGAAUGUAAUAAUUUUAUUUUUUUAUGACAUGCACGAGAAAAUAUUACUUAGUAAUGAGUGGAGUGGAGUGGAGUAGAACAUGUUUUGAGAGUUUUUGAUUCGAAAUUGAAAUCGAUGUGCUAAUCAGGAACAUAUGGAAAAAAAAGAAGGAAGACGAGAAAAUCUGUAUGAUUGGCAAUAGGUUGAAUAGUAAUACUAGUCCUUAAAUUAUUAUGUUAUUUUAGUUUUUGUCUUUUUAUUAUAGACUGAACAUAUUAAAUAUUCAAUUAAUUGAUACCUAUAGUAUUCGUCCUUCAGACUAACGAAUAAACGAAAGUUAAAAAAAAAUCUAAUAUCAUUAUUAUUUAAAAAAUGAAGGUUCCCUCACAUGACCUCCACCUCCAAAAAAAAGUCCAUGAAAAUUAAAGUAGUUCACCUUCCGCUGUUGACUUCCUAAGAAGCUACCAAAAAUCGUAUAAAAAUAUUUAGCAAUAGAAACUAUCUUUUUCAUGUUAGAUAGGAAUGCUGAGACGGAGAUGUUCCUAAUAGCAUCAAAAAGAUUUAUGGCUUAAUAGGUUGGGGCGGGUAAUUUAAUAGAUUGGUCGGAUAAAUUUAGUUGGAUGUGAGUUUGAUUAUAAAAUAAUAUGAUUUAAAUUAAUUUAAUCUGUAAUCAAUAAAAAAUUGACACAUAAUAAAUAAAAUUUUUAAUUUUAAAAAAGAAUCGUUAGUUGUAAGGAUAUAUUUAAUCCAUAAAGGUAGAUGGAGGAAUAUUUUUGAUCAAUAAAUAAACGAAAAAUAUUUUUAAACCAGUUUUAAUACUUGAAGUGAUAAAAUUCUGAAUUCUCUAUUAUUCAACUUAACUUAUCUCUCUAACAUACACUUUAUAACGUUCAGCUUAAUGUUUUCACCUCAACUGACCGGCGGACACUGACGCCGCUGACGGCGUAGACGAGCCGGAAGCAGAUAAGAUCUACCUCUCUCUCUCCCUCUCUUUCUCUCUCUCCCUUCAGAUCGCUCUCCCCAGUUCCUCGUUAUCAUCUUCCCCACCCUUUCCAUUUCUUUUCCCGUCGUGACUAUCGCCGGUGGGUUUAGGUUUCUCGCCGGCUCAACUCGGGUAACGGGGAGGUAUCCAUAAGCGGCCAAACAGGUAAUCAGAUGAGUUGGUUUGACGUCCUUCGACAUCCAGAUCCCGGCAAGUCCCUAAAGAUGCUCCGGCGAAACUCCGGUGACACUCCGUCGAUUUAACCAGCGGCCCCAUUCCAGUCGACCUUCUUCUGGAAACUAAUUUUCAACAUCAAAAUUGAUGGACCAGCAGCACACAGGCGUACCGGUGACAUCUAAACUUUGAUUAUUUCAUCACUCCAUAUUUCGGCACUUCAUAUAGUUUGAUUGCUUUAUACUAUUUUGUUCCCUGUCUCUCUUUUUGCGUUCGUUACUUGCUGCUAGUGAGCAUAGUUGUGACUGCCUUCUUUGCUUAGUGAAGGAUAUUGUUUGUAUUGUCUUUACCUGCUUUGACCUUUUCUUGAUUAUUUCAUAUACUGUACGUGUGCCUUCUAUUUCCCGUUGUUACUUUAUUACUGUUAUUGUGGGCAUUUUCCUGGACUUGUGGCUGUGGGCAUUGAUGGUAGGAUAGGGUCAUGUCCGAGGGGGUUGGGGCAGGGGGCUGUGCUAGGGGUGGGGGAGGAGGAAAGGGUGAGUGUGGGAGUGGGGGAUAGAUCUGGCGUUAGAAGAGGUAGAGGAAGACGUGGUGCUAGAGUGGAUAGGUUGCGGGUUGGGUUUUGGAAUAUAGGUACUCUUCUGGGUAAGUCUAUUGAGCUGGUGAAGAUUCUUAAAAAGAGGAGGAUCAAUAUUGCGUGUGUACAAGAGACUAAGUGGGUAGGGUCUAAAGCUAGGGAUAUAGACGGUUACAAGCUUUGGUACUCUGGUAGCGUGAGGCGUAGGAAUGAAGUUGACAUCUUAGUAGAUGAGGAUCUUAGAGGGCAGGUAGUAGAGGCUAAGAGGAUCAGCGAUAGGUUGAUGACUAUUAAGUUGGUCAUUAAGGGGUCUACCCUGAACGUGCGUAGUGUUUACGUGCCUCAGGUGGGCUUGGAUAAGGAUGAGAAGACGUAGUUUUGGGAGGCUUUGGAUGAGGUGGUGAGAGGAAUGCCUAGUUCCGAGAAGAUUGUUGUAGCAGGGAAUUUCAGUGGCCACAUCGAGGCGUUAUCGAGAGGCUUUGGCGAUGUGCAUUAUGGUUUUGAUUUUGGGGAGAGAAAUGAAGAGGGAGCUGCUCUGUUGGACUUUGCGAGGUCCUUUGGGUUGGUAGUGGUGAAUUCGAGCUUCCUGAAGAAGGACGAUCAUCUGAUCACCUUUCGAAGCGUGAUAGCCAAGACCCAAAUUAACUUUUUGCUGCUUAGGAAAGGGGAUAAGGUAUUGUGUAAGGACUGUAAAGUCAUCUCAAGUGAGAAUCUUUCGACCCAACAUAGGCUCUUGGUGAUGAACUUAGGUAUUAAGAAAGACAAGAAGAGAAGGGCUGAGGAGGGUAGACCAAGAAUUAAGUGGGGCGGUUUAACGCCAGCGAAUGCGCGGGAGAUUGGGGAGAAGGUGGAGGGUAUGGGGGGUGGGAGUGUAAAGGGGACGUGGAUGGUAUGUGGGAUACGGUGGCUAGGUGCAUCAAGGAGACUGCUAGUGAGGUGUUGGGUAUGUCCAGGGGCCUGGCUGGUCAUUAGCAGGGGGAUUGGUGGUGGAAUGAAGAAGUUAAGAAGAAAGUGGAGACUAAGAAGGAGACGUAUGCUAAGUUGGGUAAGAGUAAGGAUGAAGAUGACAAGCAGGCUAAUAGGGAGGAAUACAAGAUAGCUAGGAAAGAGGCUAAGUUGGCAUUUACGGCGGCUAAGACGAUAGCGUUCGAGAGAUUGUAUGCGGGGUUAGAAGGGAAAGAAGGGGAAAAGAGGUUGUUUAGGCUUGCAAAGGCUAGGGAGAGGAAUGGUCAUGACCUCGACCAGGUAAAGUGUAUUAAGGGGGAGGAUGGUAGAAUGUUGGUGGAGGAUGAUCACAUUAAGAAGAGAUGUCAGUCGUACUUUGAUAGGUUAUUGAAUGACGAAGGGGAUAGAGAUAUUGUGUUAGGGGAGCUGGAGCACUCAGAAGACUGUCGUGAUUUCAGUUAUUGUAGACGUUUUAAGGUAGAAGAGGUU